RNAcentral lists this long non-coding RNA (57469 nucleotides) under Malus domestica (apple). RNAcentral's name for it is "long non-coding RNA (MDOM_LNC020044)". The record is from RNAcentral. Lineage: Eukaryota; Viridiplantae; Streptophyta; Magnoliopsida; Rosales; Rosaceae.
AUGAUAUGAGUGAGGCUUCCUUUUGUAAACCAAGAUAUGAUAGGGGCAGUUCAUCGGUCGAAGCUGAUAAAGUUCAUCCUCAACAUUCAUUUGAUCAUACAUAUUCUCCUUGUAGUAAUCCAGAUGACCACUUAUCUGCCAAAGGUUCGCCUUUGCAACAUGUGGAGUAUACAGCAGAUCGUAACCACGUUCUAUGUGGAUCUUUUUCCACAAAUCUUCCAUUACAUGCCUCACAAUAGUACCCUUUGGAUGCGAGAACACUAAACCCCCACCAGCAUCAUUCUGUGAAAAUUCAACAAUGAAAAUGUUCAAUGCAAGAAUCCUCAUAAUUACAAAUAAUGGGAUUGCUAACUGAUAAAUCUGCGUAAACAGCAGAAAGAGAUUCAGGGCAAUUCUGAGUACCUGUAUAGAAAACAGGUCAAGAACUUGACCAAGGCGCCUGUGAUCUCGACGUUUAGCUUUCUCAUUGAAAUGCCUUCAAUUGAUCUUCACUCUCCCAUGCAGUGCCAAAGAUCCUCUGCAGCAUCGGUUUCUUUUCAUCUCCUCUCCAGUAGGCACCAGCAAUAGACUCAAGUUAGACAACUUUUCUGUUAAUACUUCCAGUUUUUUCAACAUGGGGCCCCGCACAUAGGUCCCACCAUUCAUCACCUAUGAAGAAUUCGGCAUACUAUGAAUGUGUGGGAUUUGAUCGAAUAGGACAUGGAAAAAUGGGUGUACAGCAGUAGAUAUGCUGCGAAAAUUUUCGUCCUGCUUUUGGGAAUGUGAGAAGAUACAUGGGUUUCUAUAUUUUGAUAAGGUGUUGAGGUCGAGCUAUGUUCAUUUUUUUUCUGAAUUUCCUUGUAGUUUGGUAUUAAUGGCGCCUUUUUUUUUUGGAAGACGGGAUUAUAUAUCAUCCGGGCAAAGAUGUCAAAGGAAUACAAGGAGGCAAACAACCAAUACAAGGAAAGGGUAGAGCAAGGAGGUAACAAGAACUAAGACACCGCACCUAGUGCUACAGCGUCCUUCCUCGCACUACCAACACAAUUAAUGCGGACAGGGAAGUCCGUCAUUACACAAAACAUGAACAAGGGAGGAUGGGGGUCUAUCGACCCACGUAAAAUCACAUACCUCCUUACAACGCCGCGAAGCCAAAAGGUCCGCUGCCACAUUGGUCGACCUUGGAACCCAAGACCAGCGGCAAUCUUGAAAGCCACUUCCCAUAAUACUACAUCUCGCAAUAAUCGGGAAGGCUUCCCAGCUGCCCUUCCUUGUUGCGUCCUUCAAACAAGAAAUAGACUCCAGAGAAUCAGACUCCACCAUUAUCAAGUUCCACCCUCUGUUCAUACCCAGCUUACAUCUAUGCAAGAUAGCUUUCGCCUCCAUCAAUGCCACGCUUGUGGCUUUCUCUUUGAACCUGCAGGCAGCCAAGAACCUGCCCUCCUCAUCUCGAGCCACAGCUCCCGUAAAAUCCAGGCCGUCCGAUGCGCACCAGCUGGCAUCCACGUUAAUCUUCACGAAACCCCCACUUGGAGGAGACCAACCAGCGGCAAAGCUAGAUUCCAUAGGAAUGGCAACCUCGGGGUUGGGUUGGAUUGACCAGGCAUCCCUGAACGUUGUUGUCGAGUGAGAAAUAGCGGCAAGAACCUGUGAAGUUUUCCCUCACCAAAUCCCACACAGCCGGCGAUCCUACACAGCGAUUAUCAACGUGUGGAUGGCAAAAUCGAAAAGUCCAAUUUGAACGGAAAUUCCAGCCCAAAGACCCAAAACCCUUUCUGAAGCCCAGAGGCAAUUUGCAAAUAACGUUAAAUCAGGGGGCAGAGAGACUCAGUGGCAAUUUCGUAAAUAAACUGAAAUAUACCCCAAGAUUGCACAGUGCCACCUCCCCCUACUUUAGACUAAAGUAAUUAUAAUUUUCUGACAGACAAAAUUCAUAUUACAUAAUUUUUCAUUUUUUUUCAAAUAUUAUAUAGAAAUGUAUAUGGCUACAACUUUUUAUCUAAUUAUUUGUUAUUUUUGGAUUAAUUUGCAAUUUUAGGUUUAUAUGUUACUGAUUUUGUUUGUCUAUCUCUAAAAUUCAUCUUCACUCCCUAACAAAAAAAAAACACUAUCUUAAUUUAAGAAUAACAGAUGUCGAAGAAAACAUACAAAAUCACAAUAAAACAAUUAGCAUUUAAAUAGGAAAAGAAGGAAAAGAAGGAUUCCGAUAUUUAUUUCAUUCCCUAAGAAAAGCUUCAAGGUAAAAAAUCACCGAAUUUUAAAGCUGAAUCCGACACAUUUCCUAGUGUUUUUAACUGUUAGACAUAAAACCUUAGAUCUCAAAACCAACAGUUUUCAUUCGUUCAAAAAGAAUAAACAAACAACCAAUACAAAACCAUGGACUUUAUUAUCUUCAAUGUUCAAAAACUCUCAAAACUUUUUAAGUUCGAAGCCCUUUUUUUUACUGAGGGAUCAUUUUAAAUUAAAAAAUUAUGCAAAGAAUCUUUGGCUAGUCCAAUCGAAUUGUAGACUGAACGAAUAACUAGAUUAAUGGAAAAAAUUGCAAAGCCAAUAUCCAAACUCAUAAUCUAUAUUUCAUCAAACUGUGAGCAUCAUCGUUCUCAGGUUUGAGAUUGGAAGAUGGUGAUGUUCGUAAACUUGUAGAGGAGAAGAGCUAACCAACGAGUGAGACAUUAUUUACACCAUGCAUCCAUUGACACAUGGACCCGUGAGGUGUACAAUGGUGUGCAAUGCAAGGAAAGAGACAAAGUAUGCAUACUAUUGAGAAAUUUUUCAGUAUGCUGAAAAUACAGCUCAGUACACCAAGUUUCAUAAUAUAAUUAGUUGAUUUUUUUUUUAAAUUUCCAAUCAAUUGUAUUAUUACACUUGAUGUAUCGAAAUGUGUUUCCGAUACACAGAAAAAUUUCUAGCAUACUACUUCCAUAGACCCUGCAACAAAUGGCAAAGCAGCAAAUACUCACCAAGAAAGAGGUCAAACUUGGUAAUUUACCCCAUGAAAGUAUGCCAUUUUCUCAGUUGGCAAAAAUUCUAGGAUAAUACUUUGUACUCACUAGAAUACUGAAUACCCUAUAUAAUCAUUUUUCAAUUUUUUUUUAUAUAAAAAAAGAGGGACAACUGGUGGCAAGUUAUGGUUAACCACCCCUUUUGGGCGUCGGGAAAAUUCACAGAGGCAUUUCAGCCUCCCCUUGGCCAUAAGUAUGGCUUCCACACCAGCAGCGGGUUUCGAACCCGAGACUUGCAGUUUUUAGUUUCAAUUUUGAGUUAAUAAUAUUUUAAUACAUAUUUUAUUAUUUUAAAAAAUAAUAGACAUAUUAUUUAAUUUGUCUUGAGCUUUAAAAACAAAGUAUCUUUUCAUUGGCGUGAACCGAAUGUGAUGUUUAUGGGUAGUUUGGUAACCAAAGUGGUGUUCUUUGAAAAAAAAAUUAAAACUAAAUUGUUUUAGUGAGAUGUCGAUAAAAACUAGGGUGAACCGAACGUACAUGCUUUUCGUUGUGAGAAAAAAAUUGUGUGGAGUUUAGUUGUCAUUAGGGAUGGGCAAUGGUUAUGGCGGGCGGGUAACCGCGGUUAUUUACCCAUAACCGUUCAUGCUCAUACCCGCAUAACCGUUUACCCGUUGGGUAAUUGCCUAAAUGGUUAUACACAUACCCAUAACCAUUUAUAAACGGUUAACCAUACCCAUAACCGCAUACCCAUUUAACCGUAACCGUUUAAUACCCGUUUACCCAUUUACGAUUUUUAACCCGUUUAUCUUUUUUUUUUUUUUUUACCAUUACCCAUUUUUCACCCGUCUACAUGUUUUUUAAGAACUUGAAAAUUUAAAAAAAAAUUGUCAUAAUUUUUUUUUUUUUACAAUUAAACACCGUUAUAGGUACAUUCAUCAUGCAUUUUCGUAUUUUAAUUUUUUAAAUCCUUAUACCAUUCCAAUAAUGGAAAUAAUUGCCGACAAAGACACAACGAGCACUCUUACGUCGGUUAUUUAUAUGCCAACGUAACGAGAGCAAUCCAUUUUCCAAUCUCUCCCCUAGAAAAAUAAAGAUUUUUAGGGAAUAGAACGAACCAAAAACACCGACAACAGGAAAUAUAUAACUUGUACAAUAACUAUGUGUAGAAAAUAACCCAAAGAUGUUGAACAAUAUUGAAGGAAGGGUAAAGAAAAUGUAGGGGGAUCAAUAGCCUUGUAAGAAUGUUCGAUUUCCAGUUUGUUCGAUCCAAGAUCAACAUAUAGCUACAGUAAACACAGAAACAAAUCUAAUGCAUGCAUACUGCAAGGGAAAUGAUUUCAGUGCGCUCCCAUUUUUUUUCUCACUUAAAUUUCUUUUGAUUUAUUCAAUUUAAGGAUAGAAAUACUGCACGGAUUAUCGUUUAUUACUUUUUAAUUAAUUAAAACAUCGCUAUAAAUCACAUUAUAGUCAAUAGCAUUGAUCUAAGUUUUGUCCAAUAGGGAACAUGGUUUGUGCUAAUUUUACAUAUAUAAAAUAAAUGGGUAAACGGUUACCCGUUUAUAACCGCGGUUAAUACCCAUAACCGCCCAUUUAAAUUUCGCAGGUAAACGGUUAUACCCAUAACCGUUUAUUUAUCUAAACGGUUACCCCAUAACCGUAACCGUUUAAUUUAAAUGGGCGGUUAACCGCGGUUACCCAUAACCAAUGGGUAUUUGCCCAUCCCUAAUUAUCAUUAAAUUUUGCCAAGUGACACUAGAACUCAGUUAAAACUCGACAUAUAGUAAGUUUUUAAAGUAUUGUCAACUAUUCUAAAUGUAUGAACAAUGAAUGAGCGAAGAAGAAGCUCUUAGAGAAAAAUAUGAGAGAAUAUGAAGUUUUGUAUAUAUUUUCAGAUGCCAUAAAUGGCAGUUUACAUUUGGUUUUAUAUAGAUGAAUUGAUAAGCUCAAUUACAAUAAUACCCUCCAACAAUUCUAACCAAUCUUACCCUUAUAACUACCUUAAGAUCAAGAGCGACUGAAGCAGAGGCUUGUGAGAGACAAGUUGAAACAGAAAGAAAAGUCGAGACGUUGUAGUUGAAGCAGACCUUUCGAUGAUGAUGGACACGUAACCAUCCCCUCACAAAAUCCUACACAGCCGGAGAUCCUACACAGUGAUAUUCCAGCCUAACAACCCAAAACCCUUUUUGAAGCCUAGUGGCAAUUUUGCAAAUAACGUUAAAUCGGGGGGCAGAGAGACUCAGUGGCAAUUUCGUAAAUAAACUGAAAUGUACCCCAAAAUUGCACAGUGCCACCUCCCCCUACUUUAAACUAAAGUAAUUAUAAUGCUAUGACAGACAAAUUCAUAUUACAUAAUUUUUCAUUUUUUUUCAAAAAUUCAUAUUACAUUUCCUAGUGUUUUUAACUGUUAGACAUAAAACCUUAGAUCUCAAAGUCAACAGUUUUCAUUCGUUCAAAAAGAAUAAACAAACAACCAGUACAAAACCAUGGACUUUAUUAUCUUCAAUGUUCAAAAACUCUCAAAACUUUUUAAGUUCGAAGCCCUCUUUUUACUGAGGGGUCCAAUUAAAUUAAAAAAUUAUGCAAAGAAUCUUUGGCAAGUCCAACCGAAUUGUAGACUGAACGAAUAACUAGAUUAAUGGAAAAAAUCGCAAAGCCAAUAUCCAAACUCAUAAUCUAUAUUUCAUCAAACUGUGAGCAUCAUCGUUCUCGGGUUUGAGAUUGGAAGAUGGUGAUGUUCGUAAACUUGUAGAGGAGAAGAGCUAACCAACGAGUGAGACAUUAUUUACACCAUGCAUCCAUUGACACAUGGACUCGUGAGGUGUACAAUGGUGUGCAGUGCAGGGAAAGAGACAAAGUAUGCAUACUAUUGAGAAAUUUUUCAGUAUGCUGAAAAUACAGCUUAGUACACCAAGUGUCAUAAUAUAAUUAGUUGAUUUUUUUUCUUUAAAUUUCCAAUCAAUUGUAUUAUUACACUUGAUGUAUCGAAAUGUGUUUCCGAUACACAGAAAAAUUUCUAGCAUACUACUUCCAUAGACCCUGCAACAAAUGGCAAAGCAGCAAAUACUCACCAAGAAAGAGGUCAAACUUGGUAAUUUACCCCAUGAAAGUAUGCCAUUUUCUCAGUUGGCAAAAAUUCUAGGAUAAUACUUUGUACUCACUAGAAUACUAAAUACCUUAUAUAAUCAUUUUUCAAUUUUUUUAAUAAAACAAGAGGAACAACUGGUGGCAAGUCAUGGUUAUCCACCCCUUUUGGGCGCCGGGAAGACUCACAGAGGCAUUUCAGCCUCCCCCUGGCCAUAAGUUUGGCUUCCACACCAGCAGCGGGUUUUGAACCCGAGACCUGCAGUUUUUAGUUUCAAUUUUGAGUUAAUAAUAUUUUAAUACAUAUUUUAUUAUUUUAAAAAAUAAUAGACAUAUGAUUUAAUUUGUCUUGAGCUUUAAAAACAAAGUAUCUUUUCAUUGGGGUGAACGGAAUAUGUUUAUGGGUAAUUUGGUAACAAAAGUGGUGUUCUUUUAAAAAAAUUAAAACGAAAUUUUUUUAGUGAGAUGUCAAUAAAAACUAGGGUGAACCGAACGUACAUGCUCUUCGUUGUGAGAAAAAAAUUGUUUGGAGUUCAGCUACCAUUUGAUUUUGCUAAGUGACACUAGAAUUCAGUUAAACUCGACACAUAGUAAGUUUUUAAAAUAUAAUAUCUUAUGACGCAACAUGAAGCAAUGAAAGGGUUACUAGCGUAAUCCCUUGUAGAACAAAGUUACUGUAAUCCACCAGUUUGAUAGAAAUCCCAAAGGAUAAUUUGAUUAAUUGAUUGAAAGAUGAAAAGAUGAUUACAAAGCCAUGGCUUAAAUAAGCCUUUUACAACCUUUUGGAAAUAACUAACAUAUAAUAAAGUCCUUAAAACCCCAAAAGACUCUAUUCAUUAGUAGGCUGCUGUUCUGAUUACUUUAUACAAAAGAUGGCUCAAGCCACUUUUGUGGGAAAAUUAUUUUAACAAGUUUUUGCGAAAAGUGGCUCAAGCCACUUUUAUGGGAAAUUAACACCUCUUUUAUGAUUGCGCCCUUUUGUCUUCCGACGUUCCAUCUCCUCCCCGAUCCAUUCCGCCAUUUGUUCUACAUCAGUCCCUUCCACUUCAGAAGAACUCGACCCCGAGUUAUGAUCAGGAUAAAGAACUUCAUCAUCAUUGAAUGUAUACAAAUCAGCAACGUUGAAAGUAUUGAAAUUCCCAUAGACUCCGGCAAAUCAAUAACAUAGGCAUUGUCAUUAAUUCGCUUGAUAACUUUGAAUGGACCAUACUUUCAUGGCUUUAACUUGCUGUAAGUUCCAACAGGGAAUCAUUCUCUUCUCAAGAACACCAUGAUAGAAUCUCCUUCCUUAAACACUUUACACGCCGAUGUUUGUCCACUGCUUACUUAUACUUAACAUUGGUUUGUUCAAGCCGUUGCUUGACCUCAUCACGAAUUGCCACCACAUCUUCAGCCAUAUUUUAUGCAGCAAUGCUAAGUCCAUGUCCCCUAGGUAGCUUCACCAAAUCCACCACGUGAUGAGGAGUGGCAGUGUAAACAAUGGAAAAUGGUGACUUACCCGUAGCACGAUGCAUGGCACUAUUAUAAGCAAACUUCAUCUGAGGCAGGACAUAGUCCCAUUGUUUUGGCUUUUCUCCACAAAUGUUUCGAACCAUGUUACCAAGAGUCCUAUUUGUGACCUCCGUUUGUCCAUCAGUUUGGGGAUGUGCAAUAGUACUUCGCUUCAAAGUAGUCCCAAACAUUCUCCAUAAUGUAAUCCAGAAAUGACUCAAGAACUUGGUGUCUCGAUCAGAAGUGGUGGACUUAGGUACCCCAUGCAAUCGAACAACCUCCUUGAAAAACAGUUUGGCUAUGUUGGAUGCAUCAGCGGUCUUUUUGCAAGCAAUGAAAUGAGCCAUUUUGGAGAACCUGUCAACCACCACGAAAACUGAAUCCAUUCCCCCUUGCAUUCGGGGUAGUUCGAGCACAAAAUCCAUAGCAAUGUCCUUCCAAAUGUCGUUAGGAACGGGUAAAGGCAUGUAAAGGCCCGUAUUUUGGACUUGCCUUUUUGAAACCUGACAAGUGUAACACUUCCUCACAAUGGCUCCAACAUCUCGUUUCAAUUGUGGCCAAAAGUACCUCUCUUCUAAACUUGCUAUAGUUUUAUCACGACCAAGAUGACCGCUUAGUCCUCCUCCAUGCAAAUCUCGAAUAAGCUUUUCUUGCAAGGAAGAGACAGGAACACAUAAUUGGUUACCUUUGAACAGAAAACCUUCGUUGAUAAAGUAAUCUGACAUAGGUUCAUGAUUAAUGCAUUUCUUCCAUAUUUCCUGAAAAUCAUCAUCGGUUGCAUACAACUCCUUUAAGCACUUGAAACCCACAACUUCUUGGGAAAGAGUGAUUAGCAAUGAUGCUCGUCUACUCAAGGCAUCGACAACCCGAUUUUGAGCUCUAGAUUUGUGCUUGAUAACAAAUGGAAAUUUUUGCAAGAACGUUACUCAUUUGAUAUGCAUUUUAUUAACAUGCUUCUGAUUGUUAAUAAACUUCAAGGCUUGAUGAUCCGUGAAUAGCACAAAUUCUUUCUGAAUGAGAUAAUGUUCCCAUUGUUUUAAAGCUCGAAUCACCACAUAAAACUCAUAAUCAUAAAUGCUCCAUUUUUGACGGGCUUCACUUAGCUUUUCAAAGAAAAAAGUUAUAGGUAUCUUCUCUUGGGAAAGGACAGCACCCACUCCCACUCCACUUGCAUCACAUUCGACUUCGAAUACUUUCUCAAAAUUUGGAAGAGCUAACACCGAAGCUGUACAAAGCUUCUCUUUGAUCAAAACAAAGUUUUGUUCUUGUUCAUCCCCAACGGAACUUGCCUUUCUUCACCCAUCCAAGUGAGUAUGGGGAGACAUGAGGUUUCGUUGGUAGCUGUAAAUGCUCCACCACUUUCUUGGCCACAAAAUUUUCACAACUUCCAUUGUCUACUAUCACUUUGCAAACUUUGCUGUUAAUGGAGCAAAGAGAACGAAAAAUGCAGUGUCGUUGCCCAUCCUCUUUUGGUGCUAAAAGAACUCGCUGCAACACCAAAGCGAGGUGAUCCAUUCCUUCUUCAGUUGUGAAUUCAACGUCUUCAUAGUCAUCAUCACCAACUUCUUCUUCCCUAUAAUCUUCUUCUUGGUUCCCUUCAGCAUCCAACAAGUUGGCUUGUCUCCAUUCAGGACAAACGUUAGAUCGAUGCCCAAUUUUGUUGCAACGAUAACAAAUGUCUCUUAUAGGCUUGGCAUACGGAUUCUCCCUUGGAGGUUGGUUUCUAUUCUGCCCCUUGUUAAAAGUUCUGCUACUCCCUUCAUUUGAUGCUCGAGAAGGAAAACUUGAAGGUUUCAAUCCUCCCGAACUUUGUGGCACAGAUUUUCCUUUGUCGGUGGACGAGACAACAGGGUUUUCAAAAUGCUCCGUCACGUUCCCCCGGAAAGAGGUUUGUCGCCUUUCUUUCUCUAUUAUCUCCGCCUUCAAGGCCAUGUUAAUGGCCUCUUGCAAACUCCACAGAUUUUGCAGCCCAAUCUUUUCUUGAAUGGAGGGUUUCAAUCCAUUCACGAACCUCGCAACCCUUUGAUUUUCUGUCUCCAUCAGAUUGUUUCGCUCCGUAAGUCUCAUGAAAUCAUCCGUAUAAUCAGUCACGUUUCUAUUGCCUUGGACGCAGCUGAUGUAUAUACGGUAUAAAAGAUGUUCAUAAUCCGCAGGUAAGAAACGAUCCAUCAAAAGUUGCUUCAUUUUUCUCCAAGUGCGGAUUCGAUUCUUUCCUUGCCUCUGCCGGGUAUUUUGUAAUUGAUCCCACCAAACAGCGACAGUUGCUUUGAGACGGAAGGCCACCAUCUUCACCAUUUUUGUCUCGGGAAGCUCCAUGACAUCAAAGAAUCUUUCUACUUCAACUAGCCAAUCCAGGAAAUCUUCGAUUUUAAGGUUUCCCGCAAAAAUUGGAAUGUCGGCCUUAAUCUGAAAGUCAUCAAAGUUAUUGUGGUUUUGAUGAUUUGGAUGGUUAGCCGGGUGUGGUUCCACAUCUUCAUCUUCGAACUCCGAUUCGCUGUCUUGAACACGGACCCUAGGAACUCUCAGAUUAUUGACUCCAGCAGUUAUAUGAUUAUUUGGACUAAUGGCUUGGACCAACAUCUCACGAAGUUCUCCAAUUUGAGUAGUCAAGUUUGUAAUCUGUUCAGCUUGAGCAUCCAAGUCUGCUCGAGUGAUAGGGGCAGGUUCACGAUCACGAUCACCCAUGGAUAGAUAGGGUAAACAACGAUGCCAAGACGGGAGAAACCCGCUUUGGUACCAAUUGAAGUAGCACGAAGCAAUGAAAGGGUUACCAGCGUAAUCCCUUGUAGAACAAAGUUACUGUAAUCCACCAGUUUGAUAGAAAUCCCAAAGGAUAAUUUGAUUAAUUGAUUGAAAGAUGAAAAGAUGAUUACAAAGCCAUGGCUUAAAUAAGCCUUUUACAACCUUUUGGAAAAACUCAAAAGACUUAGGAAUUUAAAAUGGAAAUAACUAACAUAUAAUAAAGCCCUUGAAACCCCAAAAGACUCUAUUCAUUAGUAGGCUGCUGUUCUGAUUACUUUCUGCAAAAGAUGGCUCAAGCCACUUUUGUGGGAAAAUUAUUUUAACAAGUUUCUGCAAAAAGCCACUUUUAUGGGAAAUUAACACCUCUUUUAUGAUUGCGCCCUUUUGUCUUCCGACGUUCCAUCUCCUCCUCGAUUAAUUCCGCCAUUUGUUCUACACCAUCUUAUCAUUCUUCUAUUUUAAAUUUUUUAUAAUUAUCUUUUUUACUAAUAAUAUACACCAUGAGAUUAAUCUAACCGUUCAUAUUUUUUUUCUCUCAUUUCUUCUAUUUUUCCUUCUCUCUGCCGUUGCAGUCUUCUUCCUAGUUUCUUUCCUUGCUUCAUUAAGGACACGAGGAAAAGAAAAGCCAAUUUCUCCAACUAUAAUGGAAUGAAAAGAAAGAAAAAAAAUCAAUUUCAGAAACAUAGUUAAAAUCAUCUUGAUCCCCAACUGCAUCUUAAUUGAGAAAAUCCACCCACGAUCUAAAUUUGAGGCUACUGCUCGUCAAGGUAGAAGAAAAGAAAAGGAAAACAAACUUACAUACAAUUUAAUAUAUUUUUGUGAUAUUCAAUUUUGUCCUUAGUCAAAGUAGAUACUGUAAUUCAUUUUUAUUGAUGAAAUAUUAGCAUUGUGGAUGCUUUUUGUUUACAUUCAUAUUCUUAUGAAGAAGGGAAAGAAACAUACAUGCACAACCAUUCAUAUUUGCUGAACACGAGAAAAACUUUGUAGUAGGAUUUAAGUGCUAUAUUUUAUAUUUUGAUUUCAUUUUUUUCUAAUUUUCCUGUGUAAUAUACUACAUGAUUUUCAAGACUAUGCAAAGCUCUAAUUAAAUUUAUAUCUGAUAUGAUUUUCAUGGUGUAUAUGAAUUAGUAGUAGAUGAUCCUAAUUAAUUUAUAGUUAAUUAGUAGAAAAGAUAAUUAUGAAAAAUUAAAAUAGAAGAAUGAUAAAAUAGUAUUAUAUUUAUAAUAGAAUAAUGAUAAAAAAUGGAUGUAGCGCCACUCAGCAAAGUCCAGUAAUAAGCUGAGCUCCACACAAGUUUUUUUGACUUGUUUUACUGACAUUACUAAUAUAUAGAAAAAGUUGUCAAGAAAGAGAAGCAAUGUUAAAAUGAAAUUUUUAUGAAAAAAGGAUUGGACUAAGUUUAUUUUAACCAAAAACAAUAACUUUAUUUAAUGAAAAAACUUAAUUUUAAUGAAAAAAAAUUUAAAUUUUAAUCAAAAUGACAAAAGAACUCAAAUUUUAAUGAAAAAGACAUAAUUUUAAUAUUAAAAAAACUUACGUACCUCCGCGUGUCCUCAGAAAUAAUGUUUAUGAAACUUACUACAUUGUUUAUGAAACUAAACGGUACUACACUGUUUAUGAAACUUAUUAUACUGUUUAUGAAACUUAACGGUAUUACACUAUUUAUGAAAUGUAACAGUACUGCUGUGUAUAUAUGUAUGUUAAUUCUUUUGUCUUAAGUAGGCACAAGUGAAAUCUACAUACAUUACUUUUACUUAUAUUAUUUAUUAUAUACAUGAAUAUACACCUUAUGAGAUUAUAGUACCAAACGUGUUUGUGUUAUCUUGCUCUGUCAAAGGCCUAAAAAUUGUACCAAACGUGUUUGUGUUAUCUUGCUCUGUCAAAGGCCUAAAAAUUGGUGUCAUUGUUGUUACAGUUAGCUAAUUCAUACAUAAUAUAAUAUAUAUGUGUAUUUUCAUGUACUUUUUCUUAUUUAGUUAUAUUUCAAGGGGUGAAGAGAGGGGAUUGGGGGGACGCGAUAGGCACACAUAUUUAUAUUUUAUGUUUUUUUCAUCAUUAAAUAAAAUUAUUAGUUGAUUUUUAAUUAAAAUGCAAAAUUUUGAAACUAUUUUCAUUAAAUUUCAUAUGUUAUAGAAUGCGCAGAGUUUACAAUCUAAUUCCUCGAAACAUAACAACUAACCUAUAAUUUGUAAAACCAGGCACUGAGCAAACCCCGUUUAUUUUUAUUCAAAUUUUCAGUAACUACAAACAAGAAACAAAAUAAAAAAGAAUGAAAACUAUCGCACAAAUGAGUAGUGACCUUAAUCUGCUGCACAUGGUACAAACAACGGAGAUCAUACAUCAUGAAGAUUCAACUUCCUCAACGUUUGCCGUUCGCCUUUGUCUUAAAGGAGGGCUUGAGUAUUCCAUGCCGGUAUCUGAUGACGAGAUAUUGGAUGGCACUGAGGACUCCGGGAAUGAGCUUGUUACUGGAUUUGGCUGAGGUGUUUCAUUUCUAUAACUCUGAGAAGAAAGAGAACUAGCCGCCUUUGUGCUUCCGGUGUUUGAUUCCCCUGAGCUUCUUCUGCGAGUUUUCUUAGAAGAUUCAUGACGGUUGGAAGAAACCUUGAUGAGAUAGACAGUAUUCCGGACAGCUGGUAAAAACAAAUAACGGAAACUAGAAUUAGAAACUGCUUCAAUCAAGAAAAUUAGAAUUUGAUGAGAAACUGUAACCAAAAAGGCCAGCCCCGAGUGAGGUCUCUAUCAAAUUAGGACCACCAGCUGUUGUAUUCCACGUUCAAUCCCAAUUUUACACUCUACUAAGUGAGACAUAAAAAACUCAGUUUUAUACUUACAGCGCCAUGCUGGAACUGUCCUGUAAUGUCCAUCUGUACCCAUAAGGCCUUUGAAAGUAAAAAUCCAACAAAUAGAACCAUGAGGUAGAGAGGGUUCCUGUUUCAUUUGAAGAAAAAAGGCACAGUGAUUAACAGAUGUGCAAGACAUUAGCGUCUGGACACUUAAAAAUGUCCAAAACCUAAAACUCGCAAAAGGAAACAAAAAAGAACGAAAGUAAUUACUUUAAAAGCAUCAUAAAUUCGUUAAAACCAAGAAUGAUCAUCGCCAUUAUAGCCCAUGGAGGAGGUAACCAGUUGUUACUCCGCUUGUGAGCCUCCUGAAAGUACAAAAGCAAACAACAUCAUGAUCGAGCAGAGCUAUAAGCAUAAAGAUAGGGAGCUCGUUACAAAAAUAGUAAUAGGAUGCUAGGAUUUUUCUUUGUAGAAAAAACAAGAAUACACUGAACUUGAUUAUAAGUCGGUCCUAUCUGACUAAACCAUUCCCAAGUCAAGAAUCAGCGCGAUUUUCAAUAUGAAAUGUUUCCAUAUGUUUGGUUUCACUACUAAACUAAAUCCAAUUUACACAAGAACUCCCACCCAAAAUGUCAUCCGAGGACAAUGCAUGCGUCCUAUUUCCACGUUCCUCCCACCAGUUGUUCAUUACUUUUGCAGGAACAUGUUCCAAUAUUCAUAUUUUCAUAACCAAAUCUUUAAAGAACAUUUUAUAAAAGACAAAAUUCAUUUAUUCGAGAUGCAACUCUGAUUAAACGAUAUAAAAACAAUUACACUACUAAAGUUAAACUUAAGUAUACCUGUGCCGAAAUAGCUUGAGUGACGAUAUAUUCGGUCUCUGCUUUGAACUGCUUUGACAAUGACUUGCACUGUACUGGGGUAAUUAAGGUAUCCUUUGAAGAAACAUAGUUUAGAGUUAACCUUAAUAAGAAGGGAGUCUCAUCAUAGAAAAAUUUUACAUAAAAACCAAACCCAUAAAUAAAUGGUACCUCUUGCCAAGAGCUUGAGGCAAGAGGAUCUGUAGGAGGUCCUAGUUUCCUAUUUUGUGAAGAUGAAACAGUAACAGUCCUGUCCACCAGAGAAGAAACUAGGACAUUUUCAAUAUUAUCUGGCUUCUCAUCCAAGCGAAUGGCAGCCAUGGUCAACAAAAGCUUCAGAGACUGCAAGAAAGAGAUGAUCAAACAACUAAAACAUCACUUUAAGUCAGAAAGAUAGAUAACAUGUACUUCCACAAAAGUUCCCAAUGAUUACCGCAGUUCGUGCAUCCUUGGUAAUACUUCUAAUGUCUUCGUUCCCAGUUCAAACCCUAGGCAUUGAAUCGCUGUCAUAAUUGAAGACUACGGCAAACCUGAGAAAUGACAACAGAAGUGAUCAGCAACCAAAAUAACAAGGUGAAAAGGAAAAGAAGAUUUUUAAAAAGUUCCUACCGAUCCUUCAUGUGGAUCAUAAUUUUCCCAGCCUCUUCUCUUGCUUUUUUCUCCACCAAUUUCUUGCAUAAUCCUUCAAAUGCUGCUUCAUUUUGACAACCGUUUCAUUGUCCAACUCAAAAUUGGCAACUGCAGUUGAGAACUCCGAUACUGCAACUUUGGUCUCACGAUUAAGUAGUUUUCGUAUCGAAGCCCAGGUGUCUUUCGCACCAGUUUCCAGUAGAGCCUCUACAGGACCGCUUAAAGACGAAGAAAGUUUUUUUCUGAAAAAUAAUGGGUAUUUGCAUUAAGAAAUUUGAAUAACCAAGACUUUGAUACAUUAUCAGAGCACUACCUCAUAUGUGGAGAUAAAUGACCACAUACCUCAUCGUGGACCAACUGUUUGAAUUUCUGGUUGGCAAUCUCUUCACACCGAACCGUAGCAACCAUAACCUAAUUAAAUUACAGUAUGUGUAUUAUAUAUUAUAUGCAUACGAGAAGUGAAGUCCUUGUUCUCUUUGAUUACUUUCCAAAUCUGUUGUGCACUAAAGGAAAAUCCUGACGCAGGGACAACACCCCUUCUAUCGCCAGCAAGCCCUCGUGGAGAAAUAGAAUGGAAAAAGCCAUCUCUCUUUCUUUCUCUUUUGUGAUGCGUCCAUCUCAGCCUCCCCAAGCAACUCGACGGCGUUGCUGCAGGCCAUGGCGAACAGUUCCACUCGAAAAUCCGUCCAAUUUGAGCGAGAGUCAAAGAACUCGGGGAAGAAUCGGACCUCGUAGUUUUGGAUGUGGCUCGCCAGAUGAGCCAUGGUUUCCAGCGAAAACGGGCACCAAAAAUUUUGGUCUCGGAUCUUCGACCUGGAUCCCCAUCAACAAAAUCGAACAACACAGAUUCAAGGUAAUGUAUAUGUGUGUCUGAGGGUUUGAAAUUGGGGGAAGGGCGGCUGAGCCAUGUGAAAUUCGGUGAGAUGACAUAGAGUCGGGAGCGAUGAUGAGUUUUCGGUUGUUUUGGGGAGAUGUUGCUUUAUUUAGUUAUAGGGAAUUUUAUUGUUGGUGCGUGGUGAAGGAAGGAGGGAGGAACAAACAUGGAAUACUUAUGGAAGUUGUAGAAGUACUUACUACUCUCAACCUUAUUGUUACGAAAGCAUACAUAUCUUCGGAUAGUGGCUGGUUCAUGGAUGGUAAAAAUCCUUUUAUUACGGACUUUUUUAUCGCUGUAAAAAUUGUCCUUUUUUGUUCGAGCUAGAAACUGAUUAUGUGAUUUGGUUUUCAAAUCGGUUUUAACUGCCGCUGAUCAAGAUGGAAACAAGGUUACAGAUGAGGUUUUGAAUUAUAUUCUAAACCUAAUCCAAUACUAACUGUGUUUGCCAUUUUUUUUUCUUGCUUUUGCAGCGAAUGAUGUAAAAAUACUUUAUUCAAAAGGUUACAUUUGUUUGGUCUACUGUGGUUACAUUUUUCAUUUGAUUAAGCUUUGUCAUUGUGUAUAUAUUGGUUGUUCUGUUUCUUAAUAUUGGUGUAGGAAUUUGAUACUUAAAUGCUUCUUCAGGUAUGAAUGGCUCCCAAAACAAAUAAAACACUGUAACUUCAUUAACUGCCGGAAUCAAUCUCAACAUAAAGGAAAGUUUCUGUAAGCAUGCUCUAUUCCUAGGGAGAUUUCAGUUUAAUAGAAUUUUUUGUUUAUGUGGGUUUUGAAUUUUAUCAUAAGAUUUUUUCUUAAUUGGUAUUCAAAAGCGAAUAAAAUAUGUGUUCCUUGGGUCUGACUUUUUAGUUGUUUUGUUAUGAAAUUGUUAAUUGAUUGCAUAUUGUUAAUUUGAUACAUUUUUUUUUUAUGUUAGCUCCAAUUUCAUGCUCUAAGAAAGUUAUGGAUUCAUUUUUUGUAGCAAAUAUUAAAGUAUCAAUAUCCAAAAGAGUUAAAUUAGUUUCAAUUCUUAAAUUAUCAGUACACAGAAGAAAGAUCUAUUAGUUUAAUUUAAAUACGUUUGGAAAGUUAGAAAUAGCUCUAUUAGUUUCAAUUUGUACACUUUUUGAAAUUUAGAGAUCUACUGAGCAUGUUGAAAAUUUGAAGUUGUACUUUUGCGUACUCCAAACUGUGACCUAUAGUUCCCUUAAUAUUUUCAUCCAUUUGAAUUGAUACAAAAUAACAUACUGAAUCCAUGAUCAAUCCCAUUACUAUGUUUAUGUCAAUAUUCUUUCACUUUCUUACACUGAAUUUAACUUUGCUAACACUGGUAAGCUUCCCUUUCAAAAAAAAUUUCUCUUCAGUAAAUACGAUUUAUCAAUGCUUAAUUUGGGUUUGGAGUUGUUUUCUUCUCAUGGUAAAAAUUGGUGUGUCCCAUCCAGAACAAUUAGUGGCCAUUUUUGAGGUUUAUUCCAGUAAAGGGUUUAAGGUUUUUUAUAAUGUCAUAUCGUGUUAGGAUUUUUGAAAGUUGGUUUAUUUUGAAAUUAAAGAUUUUAUGCAUCAUUCAGUUGGUGAAGGACACUUUGAAAUCAAUUUUUUCCGCAGCUGAGACAAUUGAUUAGUUGAUAAGAAAGCGACAUUUUCAUUCUAUUUGUAAGAUUUAGCCAAAAGUAUUUUUUAACAACUAUGAUAUAGUUUGAUUUCAAUUCAGAAGUACUUAUUUUGUUAAAUUUAACCUCGAAUAUGUUAGUAAAUCUUUAUACUUUAUGUGCAAAUACAUAUAUAAUCCUGUAUGUAUAAUUUUUAUAAUGUUGCUAAACAUUUUUACUUUCAUCUUUUUGUCCGUAGAGGGUGAAAACCGCGCCGUUCACAGAUGCAAAACAGGGAACAUCUCCUACUUCAUAUGAGAAGUAGAGAUUAGUUCGAUUGUGAUUGUUUUUCUGAUUUGGUUAAAUUCGAAAUUAGUUGGCUUGCGUCUAAUUUAGUUGUUUGCAUUGGUCACACAUGUAGUCGUUUUCUAACUUAGUUCAUCAAAAUAUGUCAUACAAUUUCCACUCCCGCAAUAACGCGUGAAUCACAUUUCCCGCAGCAAUGCGUGGGCUACACUUUCUAGUUAUUACUUUAGUCUAAAGAAAGCAUUGCAAUUGGCACAAUGAACAGUGUUUGUACUCGGAUUUCAGUUUAAUUACAACCAUGCCAUUGCUUUAAUGAGUGGGCUUUGUGGAAGGUUCGGGUUCGGGUUUAUUUUUUUGGGUUUGGGCAAAUGGGCUGCUAAAUCUCUACAAAGAAAACAUAUAAUGUAAAACAAAUAUUUAAAAAAAAAAUACAAACCCUAAACUUAAUCAUUCAAAAUAAUAGAAAAAGUAAAGUAGAAAACCCAACCCCCGAAUCCCAUUCCCUGCUAGCAACCUUUCCCUUCCCAUUUUGCCCGACACCCCGCCCAGCUUAGUUCUCUCUCUCUCUCUUUUUCCCUAUUCAUGACGGCACCUGAGAUUUGAUGAUGACAUAUUUUACUUAUUUUAAAUUCUAUUUUAAAAUAAGCUGGGGUGUCAGGUAAAUUCUAUUUUAAAAUAGACUAGAUCUGGCCUUUUACUAACUUCUUUUAAUUUUUGAUUUUUUUAAUUCUAUUUUACUUAUGUUUUUCAUAGUUAUCUUACCCUUUGAAAUGACAUAUUUACCCUUAAUUUUGAAGGCAAUUUGGAUGGAACUCGAAAAGCUUAACAGUAGGGGCCAAAUUGACCACUUAAACAUAGUUCGGGGGUCAAUUGGCUGAAAAAAUAGUUCAAGAGGAAAUUGACACUGACGUCAUAGGUGUUAAAUGACAGUUUACCUUGCGGUAGGUAAGGAGUGAGGUGGAUGCGGUGACUCGUCCACAGAGCAUCUGCAGCUUGCAGGCAGAGAGAAGAGGAGAGAUGAAAGAGUCGUGGGUGAGAGAAGAGGGGAGUGGGAAGAGUCGUGCGUUGCAAACGGGAUGGAAGGAAAGAUGGGAGGGGUAGGAUGAGCGAAUCAAGCUGGAAGCCAUUUCCGCAACAAUUAAUGGGGAAGGCAUGGUUGUGUGCAGUUCGUGGGGUUGGCCGGUCAGGAAGGGGUUACUAAGGGAGGUACGGGAGAGUUUGAUUUCUCUGUUUCCUUCCUUUAUUUCUCUGUUUCGUCUACUAUAUCCCCCAGCCAUAAAGCACAAAAGCAGUUCUACUCAACACACACACACCCAGACACCUCCACAACUGGCCACCCCACCUCCAUUUCAGCUCAGCUUGUAAUUACAAGUGACCAUGCACUCAAAUUGGAGUUUGUUCCAGAGUGGAUUGCCAUUGUCGGCAGUGGUUACAUAGGUCUUGAGUUCAGUGACGUAUAUACAGCACUUGGGAGUGAGGUAUUUCCUUUCUUUCUAUUUUCAUUUAUCUUCUGAGUUUUUACAAUAGUUCUAUGUGAAAUUUGCUAAUUUUAUGGGUCAAUCAAUAACUUCUCUCACGUUUUAUUUAUUUUAAUUUUUCAAUACUGUUUUUUUACUAUCUAGGAGUUCUUAUCUCACAAGGCAUCCUAGAUUAAUCCUAAGUAUUUUGUAGGUUACUUUCAUUGAAGCUUUAGAUCAGCUUGUGCCUGGUUUUGAUCCUGAGAUUGGAAAGUUAGCCCAUAGGGUUCUAAUUAAUCCACGGAAGAUUGAUUGUCAAACUGGGGUAUUCGCAUCCAAGGUAAGCUGAUGAUUGACGUUUUUAUUAAGUGUUUUCAGGAUUUCUGUUUCAGUUUUUUCACCUUCUUUGGUCUCUUAUAGAUCACACUAGCCAAGGAUGGGAAACAAGUCACCAUUGAACUAAUUGAUGCAAAGACCAAGGAACCAAAAGAAACUCUUGAGGUAAAUAACUGGAUCUGUCGCUAAUUUAUAGAUUAUAACCUGCUGUGAUUCUGUUCUUGAAGUCAGGCAUAUGUUUAGACUUCCAAAUUGAUGACUUAGUAGCCUGAGUGCUUGCCUUAAAAUUACUAUAGGCAUAAGUGUUACAGUUCAUAAGUAUGAAAGGUUUUUCAAGGCAUUUGUGAUAGACCAUUGUACUCUUUAUCUUCUCCUAGGUAGAUGCAUCACUAAUUGCAACUGGAAGAGCGCCAUUCACACAAGGUCUUGGAUUGGAGAAUGUAUGACAUCUCGAUUAGCAUUUAUUUAAUUUUGGAGUCUAUAUAAAGUUAUUCAGCAAAUUCAUGUGAUUAAAGUCUGAAAAAAUACAGUGAAAAAAAUGCAACUUUUUAUAUGGCAAAUGUGCUUAAAGAUUUGACAUGUUAUUGAAUAUUAGCCAUGUAGUUUGAAUUAGAUAUGUGAUUGAAUAUUAGGUAUUUAGUUUGAAUUGAUUUGGACGUGUGGUUUAUUUCAUUGGAAUUUGGAUAUGUGCUAAUUUGAAGAACAUGACAAAAUCUGAAGAACCUUAUUCAGUAUUUGGCCAUUAGAUAAAACAUCAACAUAAUUUCCCUUGCUUUCACUGAUUCUCUGUGAUUACAGUCUGGAAAAAUACAGUGAAAAAGAUGCGAACUUUUUAUGGAGUUGACAAUUUUCGGCUUAGUUUUGGAUCAAAAAGAAUUAGAGUGUUACUUAUUAAGUUGAGUUAACAAAUUUGCAGCAUGCAACAGAGCACAUAGGAGAAGUUUUCAAACGAGUUAAGAAGAUCCAGUUGAAAAGAGCAUACAAGAUAGAGAACUGGUAUGCUGCUUUGUCUUUCUGUUGGAUUUUGAUGUUUAUGUUCUGCUGCUAAGUAGACUUUAUAGUGCCAUGUUAUUGAAUAUUAGCCAUGUAGUUUGGAUAUGUGAUUAAAUAUUAAGUAUUUAGUUUGAAUUGAUUUGGAUAUGUGGUUUAUUGAAUUGGAAUUUGAAUAUGUGCUAAUUUGAAUUGGAUAUGUUGAGUUAGAGAUGUGCUACUUUGAAUUGGAUAGGUUGAAUUGGAGUAUGCUAUAUUGAUAAAUGAUGCACUGAUGGUUACAGAACACACACGCACACACUCACCAGUCAUCACAUACUUUGGGGCUGCAUAACCAUAGGUUCCCAUGACUCGCAUCGAAACAUGAGUUUUAUCACCCUCAGGACCAUCUUUUACAAGUUCGAAAUCCGAAGGCUUGGCAUUGUAAUCCUAAAAUAACACAUUCCAUUUUCAGAAGAGAAUAGGAGUAGGGAAAGAAAUGUAGUUGAUGCUCAGUUAUUGUCACUCACUGCAUCUAAUAGGAUAUUAGAUGUUUUGAAGUCACGGUAUAUGACUGGGUUUUGAACUUCUUCAUGAAGAAAGACAAGACCCUUUGCAGCACCGAGUGCAAUUCUCAUUCUAAUAGACCAGUUCAGUUCCGAUCUAAAGGCGAGGUGUUGUUUCCAUCACUGGUCAGCGGACACACGUUCUGUGGAUCAGUUUGCAUGCACGUCGUUUGUUCUUGAUUCCAUCUUUCAAUUACAUCAUUAUGAUGUCUAUAGUUGAAUAAGUUUUGUAUAGUUAUUGACCGAAAAAAAAAGAUAAUUUUUCUGGUAUAUUUAGAACAAAGCCAAACUUUUAGUAAGCAGAGAAGCCACAUGUGUUGAAGUUGAGUGGUUUCAGCUUCUCCCUUUGGGGCUUUUGCACAAUCAAAUUUUAUAUUUUUGUGUCUAUUGUCAUUUUUUGCAGCUCUAAUACUGUGUAUUGGUAUGGUUAAUUCUUUGAGGUGCAGGUUACCCUAUAGACGUUACAAUUUAGGUCUUUAGUUGUUUGAUAGAAAAUCGCUUUGAUUCAUCGUUUCUUAUCGGAUAGUUUGAUCGUUAGGCUCUUAUUUCAGAUCGUAACUCAUUUUGGUUGCAAGUUUGUUCUGUAAUUUUUUUUUCCUCUGCUAUUAAUAGCUUACCACAUGUGGUAGCAGAGUGAUUGUGUUGGUAGCUUAUGUAUACAAGUGAAUUCAGAUGACACAAUGAGUUUGAUAUUCAAAAAAAAAAAUGUCUGUUAGUUCAGCUUUUGAAUCUUUAAAAACUAUCGAAUCAAUUUGAAUGUGUAAUUUUAUGUUUAUUGUUAGGUAAAUUGCUGUUUUUUUCGCUGAUAAAAUGUAUAGAGUUUGGCUGUGUAAAUGUGUAUAGUUUUAUACGUUUCGCUCGGUAGACAAUUUGAUAAUGGCUGAAGUGCAUUCUUUAAUGAAAUGUGUUUUCUUUCCUCGAUCGUGAAUGCCUUUUUGGUAUUUUGCAGAUCGAAACAAAGUGAAAGCUUUUGACCAUGAAUUUUGCAACCACUGCCUUGCUGCUUUGGUAAAGUCUCAACUUCUUUAUAAUAUCAAUUAAUUUUGGCUGUAAUGUUAGGCCUCGUUUGUUUGACCUCCUUAGCUAGGACUGGACUAGCUAGGACUAAUAACCCAUGUUUGGUGCAAGCCGGGAUUGAGUUUAGUGGGAUUAAGUCGGACUCGUGCCGACUAAAUCCUUCCUUAGCUGGGCUUAGCGAGAGCCCCCGAAAAGGAGGGGAUUGCUAGUCCUGUUUCCCUGUCUUCCCUCUCACGCCGCGUCCUCGUGCUCAUCGUGCACGACUGCACCAUCUCAGACGACGACUCGUCUUCCUCCACCCACCCCUUGCUGUCUGCAACUCCAAUCCCUGCCCAUGCCCAUACCUAGCCCCACCCACCCGUGUCGUCUGCAACUUCAAUCCUCACCCAUGGAAGAAUAAUUGAAGUUGGACGGGAAAAGAGGUAAAGGGAAGAGAGAGAGGGAUUUGAACGGAAAAACAAAGGGAAGAGAGAGGAAGCUGAACAUGAAAGCUCACCAUGGCUGCCAUUAAAUUGGCGAUGCUAAGCUUGAGAGGGAGGGGUUGGGGUUUUUUGGGGGAAGCCGGUGGUACUGCAAAAAAGAGGGAGAAAAGGCAGAAAAAAGGGGCGGAGACAAAAAUGAAUCAUGGAAGAAGAUGAUUCUGCAAAUGAUAAAAUAAUAAUAAAAAAAUUAGUAGAUUAGAUUAAAUUAAUAAUAAAAUAUUGUAUAUAUAGAUUUAAUAAUAUAAUAUUAGAGUCAUGUUUCUUAAUCCGGCACUGCAUCAAACGCUUCACUAAAUCAGUCCAGCUUAGUCUAGUUUAAGCCAGUCCAGCUUAGUCCCUAAAGCUAGUCCAGUCCGAGAUAGUCCGGUGCAACAAACGCACCCUUAGGGUAUUGAGUUGAAUGCAUAUGCUACAUGGCAUAGGUCUAACAUGAUUAGAACUUUAAUAUCAUGAUGUAUGAUAGUGGUUUAUUGAAUUGGAAUUUGGAUAUGUGCUAAUUUGAAUUGGAUAUGUUGAGUUAGAGAUGUGCUACUUUGAAUUGGAUAGGUUGAAUUGGAGUGUGCUAUAUUGAUAUAUGAUGAACUGAUGGUUACAGAACACACACGCACGCACUCACCAGUCAUCACAUACUUUUGGGCUGCAUAACCAUAGGUUCCCAUGAUUGCCGUCGAAACAUGAGUUUUAUCACCCUCAGGACCAUCUUUCGCAAGUUAAAAAUCCGAAAGCUUGGCAUUGUAAUCCUAAAAUAACACAUUCCAUUUUCAGAAGAGAAUAGGAGUAGGGAAAGAAAUGUAGUUGAUGCUCAGUUAUUGUCAUUCACUGCAUCUAAUAGGAUAUUAGAUGUUUUGAAGUCACGGUAUAUGACUGGGUUUUGAACUUCUUCAUGAAGAAAGGCAAGACCCUUUGCAGCACCGAGUGCAAUUCUCAUUCUAAUAGAUCACGGAAGAGGCAGGGACCCUAUUACCAAAGAUCAAUAGGCAACCAUAAAAUAAAAGGGUAGCCCUUUGGAUUUUGACUUUUAACGUGAUUCAAUAUUGGUUAGCAAGAUAUCAUGGAACCAAGAUAUAGUUAGCUGGCUAAUUGAAAUCCUAAUUAAGUAAGACAUUUGUACUUGCCUUGGUUAGACAACAUUAAGAUUACAUGGUGAUUUGGUGUAUUCCUCCAAGUACUAUAAUGGGUGGGAUUGGAGGAACCCAAUUCACUAUAUUAAGGGUGUCCCUACUUUCACAAAAUGCACGUUCCAUUCUGGUUCGCCGAUAUUUUCUUAUUGAUUUUAUGUUUCCCAGCUUAAAGUUUAGUAAGAAACACUUGACUUAACAAAUGGUAAGUCCACUUGGUGGACGGCUUAUAAGUAUACCUUAAUGCGCAGGCAAAAAUACUCUCAUUUUUGAUAAAAAUUGUGAACAAUAUAAAUCACGACUUUUAAUUGGGUUUACGAAAUUAAAGUCAUACAAAGGAUCUACACGUACAAACUUUAUAUAUAUCUCAAAAGAAAAUAAAAGGUAUUCAUUCCACAGACAGUCUACAUAAAACAUUCCCCCAGGGCAUUAAAGCAAUUAGGAGCUAGGACAGUAAUCUUGCAGAAUGCAAGUCCACUGCUAGCUAGACAUAUUUCAUGCAUUAAUAGCCCUGUAGUUCUUUCUGAUUAACUCUGUUGUAAUCUAUGUGUGUUGCUGAUGAAAGAAGAUCAAGGUUUAGCCAUCAUCCUUAAUGGUCCUUGAAACUCAGAUCCGUGUCGAUGGGUACUUUCACUUGCUAUGCAUACGGUGAUAAUUGUGGCUGAUGCUGUUAUGAUUCAUCAUCAACAACAACAACAACAACAACAACAACAAAGCCUUUUCCCACUAAGUGGGGUCGGCUAUAUGAAUCCUAGAACGCCAUUGCGCUCGGUUUUGUGUCAUGUCCUCCGUUAGAUCCAAGUACUCAAGUCUUUUCUUAGGGUCUCUUCCAAAGUUUUCCUAGGUCUUCCUCUACCCCUUCGGCCCUGAACCUCUGUCCCGUAGUCACAUUUUUGAACCGGAGCGUCAAUAGGCCUUCUUUGCACAUGUCCAAACCACCGGAACCGAUUUUCUCUCAUAUUUCCUUCAAUUUUGGCUACUCCUACUUUACCUCGGAUAUCCUCAUUCCCAAUCUUAUCCUUUCUCGUGUGCCCAUACAUCCCACAAAGCAUCCUCAUCUCCGCUACACCCAUUUUGUGUACGUGUUGAUGCUUCACCGCCCAACAUUCUGUGCCAUACAACAUCGCUGGCCUUAUUGCCGUCUUAUAAAAUUUUCCCUUGAGCUUCAGUGGCCUACGACGGUCACACAACACGCCGGAUGCACUCUUACACUUCAUCCAUCCAGCUUGUAUUCUAUGGUUGAGAUCUCCAUCUAAUUAUCCGUUCUCUUGCAAGAUAGAUCCUAGGUAGCAAAAACGGUCACUUUUUGUGAUCUUCGCUAGAUUGCUCCGGUCAUUAGUGUGGAUAAGUAUAUAAAUGGAUAGGGAUAGGAAAGCAAACACAAGAUGUACGUGGUUCACCCAGAUUGGCUACGUCCACGGAAUAGAGGAGUUCUCAUUAAUUGUGAAGGGUUUACACAAGUACAUAGGUUCAAGCUCUCCUUUAGUGAGUACAAGUGAAUGAUUUAGUACAAAUGACAUUAGGAAAUAUUGUGGGAGAAUGAUCUCGUAACCACGAAACUUCUAAGUACCGGAGUGUGGUAUCGUCUUGACUUUCCUUAUCUGUCUCAUAGGUAGAUGUGGCAUCUUCUCUGGAAGUACUCUUCCUCCAUCUAGGGGUGGUAUCUGUAACUGGUGGAGAUGCACAAGGUAAUGUAUCAAUGUCACUUGAAGCUUACUUGUAGUUUCAAGCUUGGUCAAGCGCGAUACAAACCAUGUAGUAGGAGCCCCCAAGUCGCCGAGCUAGGGGAUCUGCUGAAAGAGGUGACAGACAAGGUAAGCAAUCAGAGCUCCGGCUGAUUGUUCACAUUCUCCCUAUCUUGCAGGCAGCAUGAAGGAUAAAGAGAAGAAAAAUGAGAAGAGAUGAUAUGGGAUACUUUUGCUUUUGAAGAAGUAACUUUCCACAAGCUUAUUCUUGAACUGGGCUGGAAGGUUUUCUGGUUUCCUCCAGAGUAUAAGGCCGACUGAAGAAUUUGAGGGUCAAAACAAGUCCAUCAAAUCUAGAGUACGUUCGACCCUGCUGAUAUGGGAUACUUUUGCUUUUGACAGAGUAGUGGAUGUAUCGGCACGUGUGCUGUUACGCUUGUCUCCACAUGUUUCAUUUUAUCCUUCUCACUUGCCCUAUCUGUUCCUCAGGCAGAUGCGGUAUCUUCCCUGGGAGCAUAAGAUGUUGAAGAUGAGUACUCGAGAGCAAUGCCAGGUAAGUAAUCAGGUAAGGGGUUCCAGGCAGUCAGUUCCUGGCUGGAAGCUUGAUUCCAAGUGCUGACUGAUUGCUCUCUUUCUUUUUGUCUUGCAGGUAAGAACAAGGCCAAAGGAAAAGACAGGGAAAAAGCAUGAUAUGGGAUACUCUUGCUUUUAACCCUGAUGAUAUGAGAUAUUCUUGCUCUAGUAUAGCUUGUUUACAGAGGUAUUAUCGGGGGGAAAGAAAGCUGAAUAUUUCGAAAGGCUUCGUUGGGAGUGCCCUCUCAAAUAAGAGGAAGGGUUGAGUAUUUUUGCAGGUCUGCCUGUCCGUUGGGGAUGGAGGUCGACAUAUAUAGGAGUCUCCCUAACAUCAAGUAAUAAUGCUAUUCCUUUACCCUGCUUGGUCAUAGCACGGUAGUGGGAGCUGCCAGCUUCACAAGUUUUAACUCUGUUAGAGCACUUUGAAAAAGUGGUCUGUGGUAUCUGGAAAGCUGAUGUUGCGUGUGAAGAUUACAGACAAGCUUUAUCCAAGGAGAUCCAGCUCUUGAAGUUGGGAAAGUGGUGCCUCUUCGGUUUUCGAACAAGCAAUCCUGUCGGGGAUCUGGCUCUCGAGAUUCGGAGAACGAUGCCUCUUCGAUUUUGAGAAAGCAAUCCUGCCGGGGGUCUGGCUCUCGAGAUUCGGAGAGCGGUGUCUUCGAUUUUUGAGAAAGUAAUCAUGUUGGGAGUCUGGCUCUCGAGAUUCGGAGGGCGGUGCCUCUUCGAUUUUGGAGCAAGCAAUCUUGUUGGGAGUGUUUUCUCGAAUGUGAGUAAAGGUUGGGCAUGUUUGCUAGUCUAUCUUGCCACGAAGCACAGAGGUUGACACACAGGGACUUUCCAAUUAUCCAACAGUGGUACUGUUCCUUUACCCUCUCUUCGAUUUUUGAGAAAGUAAUCAUGUUAGGAGUCUGGCUCUCGAGAUUCGGAGGGCGGUGCCUCUUCGAUUUUGGAGCAAGCAAUCUUGUUGGGGAUGUUUUCUCGAAUGUGAGUAAAGGUUGGGCAUGUUUGCUAGUCUAUCUUGCCACGAAGCACAGAGGUUGACACACAGGGACUUUCCAAUUAUCCAGCAGUGGUACUGUUCAUUUACCCUCUCUUCGAUUUUUGAGAAAGUAAUCAUGUUGGGAGUCUGGCUCUCGAGAUUCGGAGGGCGGUGACUCUUCGAUUUUGGAGCAAGCAAUCUUGUUGAGAGUGUUUUCUCGAAUGUGAGUAAAGGUUGGGCAUGUUUGCUAGUCUAUCUUGCCACGAAGCACAGAGGUUGACACACAGGGACUUUCCAAUUAUCCAACAGUGGUACUGUUCCUUUACCCUCUCUUCGAUUUUUGAGAAAGUAAUCAUGUUAGGAGUCUGGCUCUCGAGAUUCGGAGGGCGGUGCCUCUUCGAUUUUGGAGCAAGCAAUCUUGUUGGGGAUGUUUUCUCGAAUGUGAGUAAAGGUUGGGCAUGUUUGCUAGUCUAUCUUGCCACGAAGCACAGAGGUUGACACACAGGGACUUUCCAAUUAUCCAGCAGUGGUACUGUUCAUUUACCCUCUCUUCGAUUUUUGAGAAAGUAAUCAUGUUGGGAGUCUGGCUCUCGAGAUUCGGAGGGCGGUGCCUCUUCGAUUUUGGAGCAAGCAAUCUUGUUGGGAGUGUUUUCUCGAAUGUGAGUAAAGGUUGGGCAUGUUUGCUAGUCUACCUUGCCACAAAACACAGAGGUUGACACACUGGGACUUUCCAAUUAUCCAGCAGUGGUACUGUUCCUUUACCCUUGUGGGUAAUAAUAUGGUAGCUAGACCUUCAAAAUUUAUGUGUCUAAACUUUGUUAAUGUUGUUUCUUUGCUAUUCUUUUACCCUUCUUGGUCAGAGCGAUGUAGUGAGAGCUACAAGCUUCACGUGUCUCAACUUUGUCAGAGAACUUUGGCAAAGUUAUAUGUGGUACCCAUGAGCUACUGUUGCGUGUGGGAAGUGGGUGAUUGAACAGUACGAUUCAUGUGCUUUCUACUUCGCCAGAAAUCUUCGACAGAAUGCCCAUAAUUUCCGCAAAGCUGAGUGUGCGUGUGACAGGUGCUGACAAGGCUGGAAAAGUAGGUGCCUCUUCGAUUUCUGAGAUCGGCCCUCGUGGUCUCUGAGCAGCCCAUCUUUUGAGAAAGCAAACCUCUUCGAUUUCUGAGAUCGGCCUUCGUGGUCUUUGAGCAGCCCAGCUUUUGAGAAAACAAACGCCUCUUCGAUUUCUGAGAUCGACCCUCGUGGUCUCUGAGCAACCCAGCUUUUGAGAAAGCAAACGCCUCUUCGAUUUCUGAGCAGGCGCCUCUUCGAUUUCUGAAGCUUCGUCGAGUGCAGAUUUUUAUAGGGGCUGACAUUAAGUUCCAAAGCACACUUGAAUAUCCACCAGUAGAAGCUCUAUUCUUGCACUUCGAAGAUCUUGAUUUGUCCGACCUCUUCUCUCUUCAACACCCUUUGAAAAUGUCUGGCCCCUCCGACCGUCGUUUUGACUUGAACCUUGUUGAAGAGGCAGCCCCGCCUUCUCCAGACAACAUAUGGCGCCCAUCCUUCGUCUCCCCUACUGGUCCUCUUACCGUUGGGGAUUCCGUGAUGAAGAAUGAUAUGACCGCUGCGGUAGUGGCCAGGAACCUUCUCACUCCCAAAGAUAACAGACUACUUUCCAAACGGUCUGAUGAGUUGGCUGUUAAGGAUUCUCUGGCUCUUCAGUGUUCAGUGUGCAGGUUCUGUGUCUAAUAUGGCCCAACGCCUAUUUGCUCGAACCCGCCAAGUUGAAUCAUUGGCGGCUGAAGUGAUGAGUCUCAAACAGAAGAUUAGAGGGCUCAAGCAUGAGAAUAAACAGUUGCACCGGCUCGCACAUGACUAUGCUACAAACAUGAAGAGGAAGCUUGACCAGAUGAAGGAAUCUGAUGGUCAGGUUUUACUUGAUCAUCAGAGAUUUGUGGGUUUGUUCCAAAGGCAUUUAUUGCCUUCGUCUUCUGGGGCUGUACCGCGUAAUGAAGCUCCAAAUGAUCAACCUCUGAUGCCUCCUCCUCCUUUUAGGGUUCUGUCCAGUACUGAGGCUCCGAAUGAUCCCCCUCCGGUGCCUUCUCUUUCUGGGGCUCUACCGACUACUGAGACUUCUCCUAAGCAACCUUUGUGAAGGCUCCCUCUUGUUUUUUAUUUUGACUCAAGUAUAUGUACAUAUUUGUAACUUAUCGGGGAUAUCAAUAAAUAAGCUUUCUUUCAUUUCAACGUAUUGUGUUAAAUACCCCAAAGUCUUCUUCGCUAAGUUCUUUGAAUUUUCUUUUGUUGAAGCUUGUAUGUUGAAGCUUUGUGAGUGGAGCAUGUAGGUUGAGGUAGUGUUCCCUUAAUUUCCCGAGUGUGGAAAACUUCUCGGUUGGAGACUUGGAAAAUCCAAGUCACUGAGUGGGAUCGGCUAUAUGAAUCUUAGAACGCCAUUGUGUUCUGUCCUGUGUCAUGUCCUCCGUCAGAUCCAAGUACUCUAAGUCUUUUCUUAGGGUCUCUUCCAAAGUUUUCCUAGGUCUUCCUCUACCCCUUCGGCCCUGAACCUCUGUCCCAUAGUCGCAUCUUAUAAUCGAAGCGUCAGUAGGCCUUCUUUGCACAUGUCCAAACCACCGUAACCGAUUUUCUCUCAUCUUUCCUUCAAUUUCGGCUACUCCUACUUUACCCCGGAUAUCCUCAUUCCUAAUCUUAUCCUUUCUUGUGUGCCCACACAUCCAACGAAGCAUCCUCAUCUCCGCUACACCCAUUUUGUGUACGUGUUGAUGCUUCACCGCCCAACAUUCUGUGCCAUACAGCAUCGCCGGCCUUAUUGCCGUCCUAUAAAAUUUUCCCUUGAGCUUCAGUGGCAUACGGCGGUCACACAACACGCCGGAUGCACUCUUCCACUUCAUCCAUCCAGCUUGUAUUCUAUGGUUAAGAUCUCCAUCUAAUUCUCCGUUCUUUUGCAAGAUAGAUCCUAGGUAACGAAAACGGUCGCUCUUUGGUAUUUCUUGAUCUCCGAUCCUCACCCCUAACUCGUUUUGGCCUCCAUUUGCACUGAACUUGCACUCCAUAUAUCUGUCUUUGAUCGGCUUAGGCGAAGACCUUUAGAUUCCAACACUUCUCUCCAAAGGUUAAGCUUUGCAUUUACCCCUUCCUGAGUUUCAUCUAUCAACACUAUAUCGUCUGCGAAAAGCAUACACCAAGGGAUAUCAUCUUGAAUAUGUCCUGUUAACUCAUCCAUUACCAACGCGCUGUUAUGAUUCAUAACUAGGCAAUUUCCUCUCAUAUUUCCUUUGGUUGUGUAAUGAUUUCCUUUUGUCCUAACUUCACUUGCCAUCAUAUGUUCAGGAUUGGGUUACCCUUGGUAGAGCACAGUUAAACUUUGGGGAGCCUGAUAGUGCCAUUCAAAGCUUCGACAGAGCCUUAGCCAUCAAGGUAUUGUUUCACCUUUCAAGAAAUUAUAAUCUGUAGUUCUCAAAGCUUCUUACGCUAUUUUCUGAUGCGUCUUUGAGCCACUGACCUUAGGUUGGAGUCUGAUACUGCAAUAUUAUGUGCUAAUCUAAUAAACCUGCAACUUAUUCAUCUUCGUCAUGAGUAAUUUUUGGUUUUUUCAUUGAAAUAGGGAUUUAGUGGAUGAUUGUUUUCAACACAUAUUAGUUAAAAUGAGUUAAGUAUUGGGUGCCAAUCCCAUGUCUGCAAAUCACAGUACCCUAAGGAAAAAACAUUGUCUGCACGAUCUGUAAUACAUGUUCAAGCAAGAAUCUUUUCCCAAACUAAAAAGCUUACAUUUCAAAACGUGUAAAAGAUGUGCCACUAUCAUCUUACGGUCUUUAUUUUUUGUUUUGUUGGGUGAUGCAGUUUGAUCGAAUCAGUUUGAAUUGAAUAAUCCUUGAAGUGACAAGAAGGAACUGACUAAGCAAGUAAUAAUUCUUAAUUACUUACAUGUUUUCAUUUUAAUUUAUGAUUUGAUUGGCCCUUUCUUAUAUAAAUUUCGAGCUCCUUAAUUGUUGGACCAUGGAUAUGUUAUGAGUGCUGAUUAGCGUAUGUGUGUAAAUAUAGUGUAUGGGUGUUAAGUACUUCAGAUGUUAUUGACGAUCUCAGAAGAGAAGGGGCAUCCCCUUCUUCUGCUUUUUCUUUUCUCGCUUUCUAUCCUACAGUUGUUUCGUCUUCGCUCAUUGCAAAUGUAUUUGUAUUUUGAAUUUAUUUUAUCCAUAUUACUGAAAAGAUGUUGUGAUCUCUUAGAGUUCAAUGGAAGCACUUGAAUCGGUUGUGUGAAUUUUAUGAUAAAUUAUGCAGUUUUGGGUUUGAAUCUUUGUUUGGUGAUUGGAGAUUGAUUUCUCUGUUUCUUCGUUGCCGAUUCAGUUGCUCCAAUGGCUUCAUCAGAGAAGGUUGUGUCUGCUGUUGGUAUGCUUGCUGUUGUUUCUCACGUUGUUAAUUGUUUUUUAAUUUUGUUGAUUUGAUUAACGGUACAAGCAUAUCUUUAUUUAUGUUUGUAUCUUGAUUUGCUUAACAGUUCAAGCAUAUCUUUUUUGUGUUUAUUAUUUCCUUGGUGUUUAGUUUUAUUUGAAUUUCUUAAUUUGUUCAAAGGAUGCUUUAGGUAGUAUCCACUUUCUAUGUUUUUUAUUAACUGCUAAAAUAGGUGUCUGCCGCACAUGACAUAUAUUUUGCCAUCUUAAAGGGCAAAAUAUGUGUGAACUGCAUGUUGCUUUGGUUUCUUCUGUUUUUUAUGGAAACAGAAAAUUUUUGGCGACCACGUGUUUGUGAUCAAGAACGUUAAGUUUCGUUCUACUAAUUGUACAAUGUCUUUACAUGUCAGCUCAGUUGAAUGUAUAUAAAAGCCAAGCUGCUUAUCUUAUCGACCUCAUUUACUCAUGUAUCCUCUGUUUGUUCAUAAUUGUGUUGAAUUUAUUCAACUUAAAUGUGUUUUAUUCAUCUGAUUAUGCCUGAAACACUGGUUCCCACAGCAACGCGCGGGCAUAUAUUCUAGUCUAUUCUAAAACCGCAGCAACGCACGGGCGUAUAUUCUAGUCUAUUCUAAAAUUGAGGAAGGAUUUACUGUUCGUUCAGCUACAGUUAAAUUUUUGCCCCUCAAUUUCACCUUAUUUACAAGAAACCCAUCAGAUUUGGGCUGGGUUGGAAGGGUAAUUAUUAGAACUAAGGAGGUAAUUUUGUCCAUAGGGUGGGACGGAUUGGCCCUUGAUUUCACCUUAUUUACAAGAAACCCAUCAGAUUUGGGCUGGGUUGGGAAGGUAAUUCUUAAAAGUUAGGAGGGUAAUUUUGUCUCUGAAUAAUUUCAAAAUAUUUACGGUUUUACCAGGAUGCUGCUUUCCCGAGUGGAUUUCUUCCUCUCUCAUCAGCUUUCUCUCUUUUCAUUUCAUCUUCGCUCAAGUUUCUCUCAACCCUAACCGUCCCUCAUAUUUGUCUCUUCACUAAUCAUUUAGAUGAACUCCUCUCGCACUGCCUUUUUUUUUGCUGUCUACUGUUUCCGUCUUUGUCUCGACGAUCAUCUGCUGCCCUUUUUGUUACUGGAAUAGUCUUCUGCUCCUACGAAUGUCUUUGGUUUGAAACCCUUAGUUGGCUACAAGUUUUUGCCGUUUUCGAUUUCAUCGAAAUUCAUUUUUUUCCUCGCGUGAUCUAGCAUCUUCUGGUGAUUUUAAGGUCUUUUUCAGUGUGCCUAAUUUAAUUUCUUUUUUGUGGUUUUCGAUUUGCAGGUGGAUGUUUGAUUUUUUUUUUCCUGUGAUUUUGGGGGGUUAUGUCUCUGUGCUAUGAUCUUGCGUGUGGUUGUCUAAUUUGUUUCGGUUUUUGCUUUCAGGAAACGAUGCUAGCGAGGAAUCGCCGCCACCAACAGAACUUGUAGACUUGGACUAUCAGAUUCUCACUCAACCCGAGUGGUGCCGGUGUUGAGAAGCUCACCAAGAGCAGGCCCCGUACCACCGCUGCCAUCUCCAUUGUUUGGGGAAAAUCCAUCGGAGAAGAUAAGGACUCCAUCUUCUCCAAAUUAUCAUUGUUUAUUUAAUAUUUUAUUAUUGUAUCUUUAAUAAUUCCUUACCACUACAUUCAUUAUUUAAAUGUUAGAGUGAAACUUUAAUCAUUCAUGGCAGGGUACAAAUACAGAGUGUAAUAUACACCCACUAUCUCACUGUCUGGAAAACUCACUAAGAAGAUAAGAGCAUGUGUAUCUUCUUUACAGCUCAUUGUUUAAUAUUUUAUUAUUAUGUUGACCUAAAACAUAUCACAUCACAUACCAUUUUAUUAUUUAAUCCAUUAGACACAUGGGUAGGCGGAUCACAUUCACCUAAAACCCUCUUUAAUCCGUUCACCCACUACAUCAUUUUGAGUAUUAUUGUAUUAUUGCAACGACAAUUUACAAGAAUAAGCAUUACUAGAUGUACACCCACUACAAGAAUAAGCAUUUCUGAUUAAAUUAUUAUUUUUGAUAAACCCAUUUAGAAUCUGAUCUGGGUUUUGUCUGGAUUCCAGGGUAAAAACUGUGAAACUUAAAGUUGGUUUGAUCUGGGUUUUCCAAGUUCUGCAUGGAACUGUUGGCUGCUGCUGCUCCGCUCCCACAAUGCUCAUUUUUUACACAUUGCUUCGUUGAUCCGAUCCCCGCUCCAAUCUGCCAAACAGGUUCGUCCCCCCUCCCAAAUCCCUAAUUCGUAUUGUUUAUUUUUGUCCGAAUUUUGAUCUGAUUUUUUUUUCCAUAUUUCCAGUAAAUCAUUUGUUAUUCCUUCUCAUCUCUCUCAAGUGCUUUCACUGAAAUUUUAAGUUCUUGGAUCGUAUUUUGUUUCUGAUUUUUGUUUGCGUUCAGUGUGAUUUUGUGUGAAAGAAUCAAAGAUGUUGGGAAUUUUAAGGCAAAAAGUGGGAGCUGGAAGCUCAUCAGCUAUGGUACACCCUCUACUUCUGCAAUUUAUGAACUUUCAUUAUAUAAAACACUUGAUUAAUUUAUUAUUAUGUGAUUUACUGCCUAAUCUUUGUGUUGGUUCAGAUUUUGGGGCAGAGGAUCCGCCCUGCCACAUCGGCAAUGAGGGGUUGCGCAUCUUUGGCGAAAGAGGUAAUCUGACGCCUACCAUCAUCUAAUCUUUGGCAUUUAUAAUCCAUGCGAUUGCUUAACAAAAAAUUUGUGGUUUUUGCUUUUUUAGAAGAUUAAUUUUUGUAUAAAAUAUAAAUCUUAUAAACAUUCUACCCAUUGUUUAGUUUAACGAAUUUUGUAGUGUUAGUUCUGCACCAUUCCAAUUUGCCUUUGAUUGGAUAAAUAAUAGCAUUGUUUAGCUAAUUUGCAAAUUUCCUCAUAUUCCUCAGCAUUUUUAGUCAAAAAUUUUAGAUUUUACAGAUUUUUCCAGUUCAGGAUGAUAAAAUUUAGGGCUUUGAUUUGUUGAUGUGAUUUCCACGUACUCUGAAUUCAAAUAGAAAUGCAAGGAUAUAUUAGAUGUGUGAGUAAAUUUUCAGUCUUCAUAUAUUUGUUUAACCCUUAACGAUACGUGAAUUAUUGAUUGAUAAUUUGAUAAUAUGUAUGCUAUUAUUGAUUAAGAAAAAUUAAUUCGUUAAUUUGUAGGGCUUGGUUGUUUUGGCAUGUUGAUGUUAUAAAGCUCAUUUUUAUAGUUAGGUUGAAGAUCAUGUUAGUAGAUUUUUUUUUUGGUUGGUUCGGAUCGGGCAAUUCCGGAGGCCCUGCCAUCGAGGUUAGUCUGAAGCAAUUCCUAUCUUAUUACUUAUUACAUGUCAAAAUCUGCUUCAAAUUUGUAAUUUAAUAUAAUUGGGCUUUAGAAAAAAAUUCAUGAUUUUGUCUAAUCCAAUUGAGUGAUUAGAAAAAUUUUCAUCAAAUUUCUGGGUUCCUGGGGGGUUCUGAAUCUUGAUGUUGAGAGAGCUUGGUUGCUUUAAUUGCUAAUGAAAUUAGCUUCUAAACAUUCAUAAUUUGCUUUUUUAUUUUCGUUCUAUAUUUUCUUUGAGUUCAGACCCUGCGUAAAGCGGAAGCCUUGUGCACUGGGUACGACCUUUUUAUUUUCUUUGAGUUCAGAUAUAUUUGUUUUUUUUUUUUUUGUGAUAUAUUGCCGAUGCCAAAAUAUCAUAUUUACAAGGACAAAGAUAGCAAGGUUCUAAAUCAAAUUUUUAUCCUGGUUCUACUGUUGGGUUCACUAUCAAUAAAAGGCACAUGAAAUAUGGUAUUGAUUUUAGAGCCUUUGAUUUCUCAGAUUGUUUUCAUAUAUCGAAUGUCAUCUGAAUUUAAUUGUAGUUAAUUUGUCAAAGUUUGUUGUUGUUUAGCUUUUUCAAAUGGCAGCCUUAGUAUUUGCCCGGUAUUUUUUGUGAAUUCCAAACUUUGCUUAUAAUUGUAGGUACGUAAAAGCUGCCAAUUGGAUUUGUUCCCCAGAUGAUAAUGGCAUACCUAUAUAAUGGUUGUUCUUUUGCUUUGAUGUAGAAGUAAGAAAAUUGUUUUGCCCCUUAUGUAUCCUGCUUCUUUUUGUCCGUGUGUUCUUUGUUCAAAGGUUGGUUGGUUGUUAAACUUGCUGCUGUAGAAGAGUUAAUUUCUGGUAGGCAGAUGAUUAUAGUGUUGUUCCUAUUAUGCAUAAGGUCGUGGUAAUAAUAUUGUGAGAUUUUAUGUCUGCAUAAAUCCUGUAGUGGUUUUGAUAAUCAGAAAGUAAUCUCUCAACUUCUUUGUGAUUAUAGUUGCUUUGAUACUGUCAUAGGGACUUUUAUCAUACUUACAAAUUGAUUUUGAUAUAUCCAUUCGUAGGUUUAAAAUUUUUGUCAAACCCAAAAGUUACCUUGCUGGGUAUAUUUAAAAAGUAGUUUAAUUAAUCAAUAUUACUGUGGUAGUUUUCAAGUAUUUGUUAAUUGGAAUUAAUCCUUUUGGUUUUAUUUUUAAAAUUACAUAUCUGUGGUAAGGAGAGAUACCUAUUGAAGUUUUGAAUUUCCAUUAAAUCUGAUCAUCAGGUGCUUAAAGAUUUGAAUUUUUAAAGUGGUUCCACAAAACCUACGAAGUGGUUCCACAAAAAUCUGCAAAGUAGACGUUAUGUUGCUUGCAGCAGUAGAUUGUUUAGGGUUUAGGGUUUAAUUAAAAAAGAUAUACAAAAAAAAAAACUAGGUAAUGAGGCACUGAAUUGGGUUUGAGAGUUUUGAUAUUAUGAGAGAGGUAGGGAGUAUAUAGGGAGAGAGGGAGGUAGGUGAUUUGCAGAAAUGGAGGGUGAGAGAAAAAGGGGAGAAAAGGGGUAGUACAUUCUAUUUUGAUUUUAUAAUUUUGGGGGUUUUGUGUUUAAACUUUUUUAGUACUUUUUUGUAGAUAUAGCCUACAAAUGUUGAUCCAAAGGUUGGACAUAAUCAUUACUUUAAAGUUAAUUAUAUUAUCUAAAGUUGAUUUGAAUGUGAUGAUGAUGUCAAUGUAUAUGUAAAGCAGAAGUUUUACUCUUUCGUGUUGUUUAUCUCAAUCUAGCUCUGGUAUUUUGAGGGUCUCCGAGAAUACAAUAUACUGUGACUCGGGUCUCAUAGCUUUCUUGCUAUAUGAUAUCAUAUAAGUAAAUGCUAGAAUGCUAAAUUUUAACCAAGACCAUACUCACAAGCAAAAUACAAAUACAAAAGUUCAUUUUAAAAUGAAGGUUGUGAUUUAUCGAAAGAUGUUCCGUAAACAUAGGAAUUAUGGAUAUGUAGGCAUAUGUAUUUUAGCAUUAUGUGAUGAAUAGGUUUAUUUUUUCUUAAAUUAUUUUUCUUUGGGUAUUGCAUGUCAUGAUCACCACAGUGAUGUUUGAUGUUCUUCUUCAGGUGCUUCUUGGGGAUGUUGGAGCUGGGAAAUCGAGUCUGGUGUUGUGCUUUGUAAAAUAACAAUUUGUUGAAUUUCAGGUUUGUUCUAUAUCUUUCAAAGGACGCAUUUUCUUUUUUAUCCAUACCUGUACUUUUAUAGUAUGUUAUUACCAGAAUCAAUUGCCACCCUUAGUUGGUGGUAUUAUCUUUACAACACAUUCAAAGCAGCGAAUAAAAUCGCACUUGCUAUUUGUUCUGUCAACUGGACUACUAAAGUAGAACUAUAGAAAUAUCUGGUGAAAGCAAUGAAGAAAUCACUAUGAUUGAUCUGCAAAGAAGCUCUAAUAAGUUACAAGAGAGUAGCAAUGUAAAUUGAACUGUUUAUUUUGGGGAUCAAUUCACCUAUCUCUUGCUUUUUCUUUCAUUUGGAGAUAAUUGUGUAAAUGUGUUGUUUUGUGAGCGUUACUAAUGUAAAACGUGUGUUAUCUGAAUUGCUACAUUUAAGAAUGUGAUUGUAUUCCUGUAGCAUUUUCAGUUAAUUUUGCUAUGAAUAUUAUUCAUGGUUUGAAAACCCGCAGCAAAGCGCGAGCAUUCCUACUAGUGAUAUCGAUUCUGGAAGCAUGCUAAAACAAGGCCGUUUGGCCGCAAUUCACAAGAAUUGCUCUGCCUCCGCCUCCGCCCCGCCCUCGCCCCCCCUCGGCCGCCGCCGUCGUCGCUGCCCGAGCAGUUCAAAUUCAAACAACAACCCCAAUUAGGCUUCCACAACAUCAACAACCCUUGCGUUGAUCUGUACUUUCAUUGUGCCAAGGGACAUGACGCCAUGUCGAUCGUGGAAAUCCACGAAACUCUGAUGAACCAAGUGCUUCCCUCGUCCUGGUCGCAUAAUCCUCUAACCACCCUCAAACUCAUUUGCGCGACGAUGGUGGAAAACGCAACCAAGACGAAGCUUUCUUCACGGCGGCUGUUUGGCUCCACCAGAACCACCCCAAAACCCUUGCCUACAAUCUCGUGCCAAUUUCCAGCUCCUUCGGACAUAUCCUAGACCUUCCCUGCAUUCUCUCGCAGGUUCUACGGGGUGAAGCUUACUUGAAAUUUACUAGGAGGACGAGGGAGGAGGCGGAUUCAAACGGAAUGGUGAAGGUCAAGGAAAAGGACGCCAAGUCAAAGGCAAGUGAAUUGUUGUUGAGGAGGAAUGCGAUCCGCACGGCCAACAAGGCGGCUCAGAGAUACGAGCGCGACGCUGAUUACCGCUUCUUGCACGAUCGUGUUUCAGAUAUUUUCGCCCAGUGCCUCAAGUCUGAUAAAAAAUUUCAUCAUCACAAGGACCAUGACCAUGACCAUCAUGAUGAUUACUGCUUGGAGAUUACCUAAGCGGCUACCUUUUUGCCUACCAUUGCUGAUCAUCUUAUGUUGUUCGUAAACAUUGCAAGGAAGGUUUUCCUGCCAGAAUCAUGCCUCCGAGAAAGGGAUGGUAGUGUUUGUUGUAUUGACCGACUGAGGAAGAAGGUUUUGUUGCCCUUGAGAAAAACUAUGGCGCCAGAGGGUUGGGAACCUGCCUAUCGGUGGGGUUAUAGAGCAGAGUACAAGCUAGAGCAUCUGGCUGCAGCCAAUGAGAUUGAUCCUGGCAAUGCUGCACUGCUUCCGCAUGACAUAUUAAGCUAUAUCAAGUAUCCUGAGCUCGAGUAAGAGGCUGAUGUUAAGUGGAAGAAAAUGGUGGAGGUCUACUCAAAGCAGAGGAAGCUGAAGAAUUGGCUGGCUGUGUGAUGUCGACAACACCUUGUCGGCGGGUUUGGCUUUGGGGCUUUUGUUGCCACAGUUGAGUGACGAGCCAUAGAAGGGAAAAGUGGUCACCUAAAGCAAACCCUCAGCUGCAUUCGAUACAAGGCGAGGUUCUUAAUUCGAGGGCCGAAUAUAUGCAGACUUUGAUCAAAAGCCAGGACUGGACGACUGAUUUUGGGAAGGUGUUCGCUGUGAUUCUAGAAAAGGCAAUGAAUGCCGAAUUUGAAGCCAGAUAAGAUGGUCAAUAAGGUCCUUGCCUUGACCACAUACAAACACUCCUUGACAGGCAGCAACUUCAGCUUCUGGGGGGAGACUAAGAUGUCUCCCUUUCUUCUUCUAGUUUCUGCUACUAAGUGUGUGUGUGUGUGUGUGUGUGUGAUUAAUACUUUUGUAGAGGAGCAAAGUGAGUGACAAGAACUAAAAAAGUGGGACUGAGUGACAAGAACUAAAAAAGUGGGACUAGAAAAAGGUAGGCUUAUAACGUUCAAAUUCUAACGGUCACUUUCAGUGGAGGCAAUAGAAACGAAUAAAAUGUGGGGGUUGGACUUGUUGCCUCAAGUGAUCUGGCACUGGCACUUCCAAAUGUAAAGAAACAAGGCACAAAGACAACUAGACGAGCACCAUAGCCUUAAACGGGUUGAUCUUGCUUUGGAAUUUUUCAUUGAUCCGAGGUUAUUUUUCCGAGGUUAUUUUUCAACUGAGAUUUGCUUUGGUGAGCAUGAACUUCCCUACAUUUUGGUUUUACUCGGCCCCACCGUUGAGACCACUCAUGUGAGAAAGGUGACACUUGCAUGGCAAUUUAACCAAAGGUUUUCUUUAGGUGACACUGAUCAACCAACAAUUAACAAUCACUCAUGUAAUAGAGUUGGCUUAUGCAAAAUCCCUACCAAAGAGUCAUAUUAGGGUGACAUCGUAAUCAGUCAUAUUAGGGUGACAUCGUAAUCAAUCAACAAUUGACAAUAACUCAUCUAGAGAAAACUCGUGGCUUUUGUUUAUAGGCAUCUACUAAGAUUGCUUAUGUUUUAUUAUACAUACUUGGCUAUCAAAUAGAAAAGGGUGGUGCUAUUCACACCUAUUUUGACCUCCACCUACUCUUCUCAUUUUUCGGCCGUCGGAUCGAAUAAAUUAAAAAAGACCAAAAGACAAACUUACCAAAAAAAUGUGUGAGAAGUUAAAAUGGGAGUGAAUAACACCAACUAUAGAAAAAGAAACAUCCAUUUUUUUCCCUUUUGAUUAAAAGAGGAGAUAUACACCGCAACAUACUAACACAAAAUUGACAUGUAAGUUUGACUCAAAUAUCUAUAAAAUCGUAUUUAUUUUAGAUAUACAUCAUCAUAGCCAAAACCUUAGGCAUAAAAGACCCAAGGACAAGUACAUGGGUGCACAAAAGGAUAAAAGGCGUUCGGAAAUCAUUUCCCAUUAUUUAUCACAUUCCUUCUCCUAUAAUGCCAACGAGCAGUGAUUGAGUGACGUUUACUGGAGAAGGCGCAAGGUCAACCCCGGAGGUGUUAGCAUUACUUGCAUCGCUGCCUUCGGGCUGAUAGUUGAGGCGAACAUUACUAUGCUUGGAUGCAGUUGAUGGGGUAUCAUCCUCCACCAAAAAUCUACCUGUUGAAAAUGUUGUUACAUCUUUAAAAUUAUAAUCUGUCAAAUAGUUUGGCUUCGACAUAACAGUGCCUAUGUCAAUGUCUCCAGAGAGCAUUGCAACCAAGCGUGACAUAGAUGGCCUCGCCAUCGGUGAUCCCUGCGUGCACAUGAGAGCUGCUCUUAUCAAUCUAGUUGCUUCAGUUUCAUCAAACUCUGUCAAUCUCGGAUCCAUUAGCCCCAGAGUUUGGUCGUUUUCAUGUAGAGUCCAUACCUGAAAAACAUUAUGCCACGAUCAAAGGAAAUUAUAAAUAAGUUUUUCACAACAAUGCCUAAAUGAGGCUAGGCGUAUGCAAUUCCUACCCAUUCAAGAAGAUAAAUCUUUUCUGGAUCCAAGUUAUUGUACGAGUUUGGUCUCCCGCUGAGGAUCUCCAAAACAACGACUCCAAAACCAAACACAUCGACCUUCUCUGUCAAAUGUCCAAACAUUGCAUACUCCGGUGCCAAAUAGCCUCUGCAAUGCAAGAUAAUCAAAUGGUUGCACAAUGUUGUUUGAGAUCAUUAGAGGCAUUAUUAACAUGUGUUAAAAUUUCAUGCAAGUAUAAAUGUGUGGCCAUAAUGAAUGUAUCCUCUGGAAAAACAAAUGGUUGCACAAUGUUGUUUGAGAUCAUUAGAGGCAUUAUUAACAUGUGUUAAAAUUUCAUGCAAGUAUAAAUGUGUGGCCAUAAUGAAUGUAUCCUCUGGAAAAACAAUAAAGGUUGGCUUACAUUGUCCCUGCAACCCGGGUGCUGAUGUGGGUUUUCUCGUCAUCAUAAAGCUUUGCCAGUCCAAAAUCUGAUAUUUUUGGUGAGAGUUUUGCAUCGAGCAAAAUAUUACUUGCUUUGACAUCUCGAUGUACAAUCCUUGGCCUUGACUCCUCAUGAAGGUAAGCAAGUCCUCUUGCUGUUCCCAACAAUAUAUUGAAUCGAGUAGGCCAGUCAAGGUGCAAGUUACUUGUUCCUGAAAUAUUAGUGAACACAUCCAAUCAAAAACAUUUCUUAACAAUUUUAGAGUGCUUGAAACUGCAGACAAUGAUGUUUCUAUGCAACCUAAAAGUAGAUAGGUUUGUACCAAAAAGUGCCUGAUCAAGGCUCUUGUUUCCAAGAUACUCAUAAACCAAAAUGCGGUGGCUGCCUUCGAUGCAGCAUCCGUACAAUUUCACUAGAUUCCGAUGUUGCACAGCAGAUAUGGUAGCAAUUUCAGAUACAAAUUGACUCUUCCCUUGGUGAGAUGCUACUGAAAGUUGCUUCACAGCCACUACUCUCCCAUCAGAAAGUGUACCCUACAAUGUACACAGAAACACAAUUUAGUGACAUGAAAGGAAAGAAAAAAAAAAGUUUUAUUUUCUUCUCUCGCUUGCUCGCUCUCUCUCCCUUUCUCUUGUCAUUACUUUAAGUACAUGAUAAUGAUGUAAUACGGAUUUCACCUUAUAAACAGGGCCAUAUCCUCCCUCUCCUAACUUAUUUGAAGGAUUAAAAUCUUCGGUUGCAGCUCUCAACUCAGCAUAAUUGAAAGUAUUUGGUCGAGGGCCUAAUCCUAGAAUAUCUGCACAUUCACGAAACAGUGUGACAUAAGUUUUACUUUCGUGAAAGCAUUCUUACUUGUGUGUGUUAAUGUCAAAGCAGAGAAACCUGAAUUGGAUACCACUAAUAAUAUGGUUGUUUACCUUCGUCGUCCUCUUUUUCUGAUUUUUUCCUCCUGAUAUAUAGAAUCGCAAAUAUUAAUAGUAAGCUCACAACUCCAACAGGAACUGCAAUACCAACUAUCAACCCAGUCCUGCUCUUCUUUCCUGGAGUAGUUGAUGGAAGCCUUGAAACUGUUGGUGUAAAAUCUGAGUGAUAAAAUAGACGAAUUCUUCAGUGUCAAUUAACAGCAGAAAAAUACAUUUAAACCACUCACAGGAAAUCUCUAUAAGUUAACACAUACUAUACCUGAAGCAGCAUGGACAGCUGCUAUUAGUGGGCCGUAAUCACCAUUAUCGGGUAUGCAACAAGUCCCUUUACCAACCCAGAACAUAUGAAUUUCAAGAUAAUUCUCUAACACGCUAACAUUAAAUUUUCUCACAACUGCUCGGUUAACGCCACCUGCCUCCUUCGAUAUGUCAAAGUCCUUCGUCCUACAGGUACCCUAGCAAACCAAAUGAAGAGGUAGGUGAUAAUUCUAGUCUCCUUUAAAUCACCGUCUUUAGUUAAUGUAGCUUAAAACAUCGAAAACCUGUCCAAUGAGGUGUUUACUUAAAAUAAGUUAGAAUUUUUAUUCUAUAAGCAGUCUUACCUGAAUAUAGAUAUCAAAUACACGCCGUCCUAGACUUUGCCAAGUUUGCGAAGUGCGACUUUCAUAAACCGUCUCUGCAAAGUGCAAUGUUACAGUGUAGAGCCCAUUCUCAAGGCCCAGGCCAUAGUAUCUCAGUGAUCCUGGGGACACUCUUGAAGUCUGGAAAAGCUCUGGGGUCACAUUUGUUCCGGUGACUUGUGCAUGAGUUUUUACCAGAAACGGUCGGUCCACUCCGUCAGAAAGCAUACCGACAUUUCUGUAAUAAUCAAACAAACCGGCAUUGCUGACAGCCCAUUUCCAUGUACUGUCUAUACUGAACGUUGCUCGGCCAAGAGCUGAGUCUUCAGUCUCAUACAAUAUGCCAUCACUUCCCGUCAUUUGUUUUCCACCACACUUGAUUGAGAAGUUUGCAUCUGUAAAGUUUCAUGUAAUACCAGAAGCUAGCCAUGAUUAGCGAUGAAACGUCAAAUUGAAGACUCAUACUAAAGUUCUUCAGUCACAUAUUUCUAACCAGUUAUGCGUAUUACUGAACUUGUGAAAACAUGCUUGCAAUCUAUAUCCAUAACUAGAGAAGCAAUGCCUUUUCCUCUAACAUGACGUUGCGUUAAAAUAGUAAAUGAUGGGUGACAUAAGAGCAGAUUACAUCGUGGGGUAUUUCGAUUGCAUGGAAAAUUUCUCUGUAGGCAAUUCAAUCCAGCAAGACUGCAAACACAGAGAACAAUUAUUAGUUAUCCAAAUAGAAUCAUGUAGCGGAAGAGUAGUGAUAGUAUUGCUUGUCUAAAACGAGUAAGAGAAACUUCAACUCACGCUAUGUUUGAACUGUCAAAUGUGAAGUUGUUGACCACUAAGUUCCUGCAUAAAAUCAUUAAUCAAUCAACAUAUGAAGAAAUAUAUCUUUAUCAAAGGAAAAUUCCAUGUACAAGAUCAAAACUUAGUAGGCAGGCAAGUAGCACUGUGAAAACGAAUCUCAGCGAUAAUUUUUAGUCCGAACAUAUUCUGAUGAUUUAAACUGUAAAAUGAAGGUGAAAGAUAAAAGGACACGUACAGUUGCGAUAUUGCGGACCCCCACUGGGGAAAGCUUCCUGAUAAAAAAUUGUAAGACAAAUCUCUGCAAAUAACAAACUAGAAUCAGAAGACACAAAAUGCAUGAAAGUUAUUAAGAACUUGUGUAAGAUAGGAUUAGAAUGCUUACGAUUAUACACAAACACAUAAAUGCACCGUGCAUUCUUCAUGACUACUUUAAGAAACGAGGACUUACAUAGUCUGAAGUUGAUUGCUCUUUUGGCUCGGAAGAGGUCCGGACAGACUAUUGUUUCCAAGAAACCUGGCCAUUUUGAUUAUAGUAGAAGGCACCCAGAAAAGAAAAAGAGAUGAACAAACAAAAGGUCAGAUGUGCACAAAAUCUAGAAGGAUUAGAGUACGACUUAAAUCAAAGUAGGGAAUGUUGAAGAUUUGAUAACUUAUGUAUGAUAAGGCAAGAAAAAGAUAAUAAUAAGGACGGGGAUUACAAGGAUGUAAGAGAACUCAAGCUGAACAAGGAACUUGGGAGUUGGCCUGUCAAAUCGUUGAAACUCAGAUCCCUGCAACACUAACGAUAAGUAUCAGAAUGAAAGAAAACUAAUUGGUCUCGUUGGGACUCAAGCUUAUAUUUGCUGGUACAUACAGUGUCUGUAGACUUUGAUUUUCUCCAAUAUCAGAUGGGAUGGUACCAGUGAUUAAUGCGUUUCGUAGUCUUCUGUAUUCCAAAAACAUAAAAUUUGAUAAAAAGUAAAUGGAGUAAGAUAUCAAAUUUCAGAAGGAAAAAGAAGUUAGAUGAAAGUAUCUGGAUCGAUGAGAAUCUUCACUUACAAUUCAGUCAAGCUUGUCAGAUUUUUUAUGAAAUCAAGAGAGGAGCUCCCAUUGUAUAUAUCACUGAUUCGCCUACAUCAUUAUAUGCAAAAUAAACUGAAAUCCCAUCUUCGGAGAAAGAGAGAGAAUUACAAUUUAUGAAACAUUUGUACUUAGAAAGAGAGAGAGAAUUACAAUUUAUGAAACAUUUGUACUUACAGUGUUCAAUGAGGUCAGUUGAGAAAAGCUGGUUGGUAUAGGGCCUUCGAAAGAGCUCCCUUGAAUUUGCCUACAGAAACAUAUAAGAAGCUUGUCAACUAAUUAUCCAUCUCAGGUCUGCUUUCAUAAACUGCAAAAGAUCAAAGGUUUCUCUACUUACAAAUCAUAGAGUUGUGUCCAAUUCCCUAUGAAAUCUGGUAUCUUUCCUGAGAAAGGACUGUCCAAUGCCCGGCUAAGCUCAUCCAAGAAAAGCAAUCUCAAAGUACUGGAUAAACGAACAAAUCUAAAAUACGAUUUAAGAGCCAUUCUUACAAGACUUGCAUGUUGGUGAGCUUGGCAAAUGUUGAAGGAAUUUCACCACUGAGUCCACAGCUGUCCAUGUAACUGUGAAAAUCAUAAGGCAACCGAUUAAGACCCAUUUUCAUAAAGUGCAAUUUUUGCUCAUCCGUGAGGAAUUAACAUGUAAAUCAAAUUUAAUGAUUUAACGAAGCACUUACAUUUCCUCGAGCUUGACUAAAUUACCAAGUUCUGGAGGGAGUGUUCCGGAGAAAUUAUUUGGUCCGAUGUCCCUGCAAGUCAUGUUGAACGGGCAAACACUUACUUGAAAGCAAUUAUUGAAGAGUGAUAGAAGGUUCUGUUGAAUGGUAAGUCUAUAGCUGUUAAAAUACAAAGUGUGCAGCUCUAAUGUAGUAAGGCAAAUAAUGCCAGGUGUACUGAUCCUAGCAACUAGCUAGAUGUAAGGCUGAGAUUGUUUUGUGAAGAGGGAGAAUCCACCUUGGAUUCUAAUGGUUAUGUAAAGCACAGAGUGUGUGUGAAUUGUAGAGAGAUGAAGAGAAUAUGCUCUGCUAGAUUUUGCAGAGAGAAACCUUCAGAAAAUUCUUCCAUUGUUAUCCUUCUCAUUUUCUGUUCUUCGAUUGUUCAUGCAUAACCAGAUUUUUAGCUUAUAACCAUAGGUUCUGUAUCUAAUGUUUACGACACAAAAUUUUACUGUACACUCUCUAAUUUUUCAUGGCUUACAGCACAGUUAGCUCCGUAAGGUUUCCAAGCUCCUUGGGGAUGGACCCAGAGAAUGAAUUGACCCUAAUUGACCUGAAUGGAGAUAUCAGUUAGUGAAAGAUAAGCACUAUUAAACUUAAUUACAUUACAUAACAAGAAACUAGUACUGCAUUAUUCAAUAAAAGCAUAAUGAUUUUUUUGUAGAUUACGGCAUAAAUAGUAGCAAAAAGGUGUAAAGAACAUAACUGUAGAUUAUGAUAUUCAAAAUGAAGUAUACAAAUUGCUACGGGUCUCAUUAGAAGUAUGAGUACUUAAAGAAAUGUUCUCUCACUACUUACAAGUGAGUCAAUGCAGCCAUAUUGCCAAUGAAUGCCGGUAGGGGACCGGUGAAAUAAUUCUGAUUGAUCCUCCUACAAAAAUUGAAAGGAAGUGUAAUCGUUAACUCUUAAUCUUACAACAUCACCAUAUUUUUGUUGAAAUCCCACAUCGGCUAGAGAAAUAAAGAAGGAAAAGUUUAAAUAUCUAAAUCUCACUCAAACUAAUGCGGAGGCCUUUUGAGAUAAACCCCACACCUGAUGGAUUGUGCAUGUGGUAAUUACCAAGUUGGAGACAGUAUCAGUGUUGUUGGAAGUGAGUUUUUGGCCCGUUCUCUGAUAAUUCUACAAUUUUUAAUAUCCAAUAUAUGAUUUUAAUGAACCAAAAACAGAGAAGGGAGUUGAAAAGAAUUCAUACAUAUAUGUGAGAUAUCUCAGAGCCACAAAUUCUUCUGGAAACACCCCUCGUUUGUUAAGAGCAUACACUCCUGGAAAGCAAAAAGAUUGAACAUUUAGAACUACAUAAAAUGGAGCGACACAGUCAAAUUAUGACGUCAAUAUAUAUAGGUAGCAAGUGAAAAAUCAGCAGUGGCAUGGAAAUCUUGUUCAUAAGGAGAGAGUAGUUUGACAUACAGUUUGGUGAUGUGGCAUGUAGUACCGUUGUCGUAAGUACAGUUGCAAACGAUGGCUGGGUUGAGAUCGUGGUUGUUAUUGGGGUUCUCAAAUUCGGUACUGUUGAUGGCAGAUCCACUGCAGGGUUCUCCACUGAUAUUCCACAGCCCCGGCACUGCUUUUGUGUCCCAUUGUUCAAAUAUUGAGUUCAACGCCCUCACUGCACUCUCACUUAAUUCAGUCCUUGUGUGUAUUACAUUAUAUCACACCAUAAUUUGACUUGUCUUACCACUUACCAGACUAUCUCGAACCAAACGAAAGAUCAAAUGAUUAUUACAAAUGAAAAUUACCCUUAAUUUGGAUGUUUAGUAUAUGGGAAGAAAAAAAGCUUUACAAAUAAGUUCCUCGAAACUUCAUUUCAUAUAAUCGAAAACACUUAAAAUGUCAUUUUGUUGAGGGAAAAAAGCCCAGUUCCUGGUCAAAAACACUUAAAUGUGGCAAAGUGUGUGUCUAGGGGGGGGGGAGAGAGAGAGAGAGAGAGAGAGAGAGAGAACCUUCAGAUGGAUCAGUGGUAGCCUUUUGAGCAAAGGACAGCUGAAAGCAGAAGCAGCUGAGGAAGCAGAGUAAUAGUAUCCUCAUCAUCAACUUCAUCUUCAUAUCGUACAUGUGCAGAACUUGCUCUCCUCGACGGCGUGAACUUAAACGACCAACACUUAUAUUCCGACUGGCUGAAUCAUGCAUUGCAUGUAAGAAGAAGACCAUUAGAUUUUAGUCAAAUAUUGACAACGUAAACAUAUAUAAUCUUUAUAUAUAAAGUCAAGGCUCAAUGAACAGUGUUUUUGGGUGUCACAAGCUUCACACCAAAAUAAUUAGACAAAAAUGUCUCUCAAACAAAAAACUUCAAAAGCAAUCCAAAAUAAUGCAUCAAAUGUGGCAGGGGUAUUUUCUUCAUUUUAAUAGUGUUUUUUUAAUAAUUAAUUUUUUGUAGUUUUUUUUUUAAUAAUUAGUACCUCACAAUAGGCUAAUAAUAAUAUGAUUCAAACAAUUGUUCAUUAAAUAUUAUUUUCUCUAUUUUUAAACAUGUUCAAAACAUCUUAAGAGACUGUAAUGCCGAUUAUAAAAAGUCUUUCGCGGAUAAUAAUGUGAUUAAAUUAGUUGUCAAAUAAUUUUUUUUUGACAAACGAUAUUAUCUACAUUAAGGGAGGGGGUGAGCUUAGUCUCACAAUAGGCUAGCAAUAAUGUGAUUCAAUCAGUUGUUUAUUAAAUAUUAUUUUCUCUAUUCUUAAUAUAAAUUCAAUAGAGACUGAUUUUAUUAUGUGGAUUUAGCUGCUUUAAUUGGUUUAUGAGAGGUUUCUUCUAGCAUGAUCUAAUAUUAUUCAUUUACUUCAAAUAUUUGACUUUCCUUUUGUCAAUUUACGAAUAUAAAUACAUUUAAAAUGUGUAAGUCACGUGUAACACGCCAUGAUUCAAAAAAUGCCUUCUGCACGCGUGUGAGCACGUGCAUGAAGGCUAAGAGAGGGUAAUUUACAAAAAAUUACAUCAAUUAUGAGUCGAAUCAUAAUCUCAUACAUUAUGUUUUAAAUAUUGCAAUGUCAUACCUCAACUUAUAAAUUCGUUGUAAUGUCAUACCUCCGUUAAAUUUUCUGUCAAUCUGACUGUUAAAUGAUGAUAUGACAGAAACGAGACCCGCUUUUUGGACAACUUGAAUAAAAAUUUAAUUAAUUAUUAAUUUUUUAUUUGACAAUUAAAAUUAAAAUUAACUUUAAAAAUAAAAAAUAAAAACCUCUCCUCCUUGUUCCGUGGAAAUCGUCCCCGUUCUCCCAUCACUCCUUCCUCCGCUCCCCUUCUUCCUCGUCCUCCUUAAACACAGCUAAUUUUCGUCCUCCUCCGGGAACAACUGAUACACCGCCGAUCGCAAAACGCAGGUGGGUUUCGAUGGCAAACCAAAACCAGACCCAAAUCAUCUUGCUCCAACAGUCUUUACAUAAAACUAAUUUGAUUUCUUCAUCAUAAGUUCACUAAGAUUUCGCAAAACUGAGCAUUAGAAACCAUCCCCUUAUCAUUUUCCCUCUCUUCAAAUCCCAUCACCGACUGGGGCUUUCGCCCCACUGCCAUUUCUUCAAUUUCUUCUUCUUCUUCUUCACCAUUUUUCUAACAAAAACCACCAAACAAAAUUGCAAAGGGAGAGUUCCAGAAAGCCAAAACGAAGAACCCCACAAAAACAAAACCCAAAACGAAUAACACAAAUACAAACCCAGAAAAUUCAAGAAAUUAGAGAAAAUUAAAUUUUUUUUUAAAUUAGAGAAAUUAAAAUUUCAAAAAUUCAAGAAGUGGUCAUUUGAAAAUUCGCCCAGAACUUCGGAUUUUCGAAAUCCUCCAUAAUAUUAAUUGAAGAAUGGAAGUUCAUUAAAGCCCAAUUUUUUUCUUUUUCUUUCCCCUUUUUUCCUUUUGAUGUUGAUUCGAAGAGAAAGAAUGAAAGAGAGAGCAAAUCCUCUGAUGCGGGGAUGUGGGGGAAUCUGGUGGAAGGAGGAUAUGGGGUGGCUGGGGUCCAUGGAUAUGGAUUAGCUAUGGCAGAUCAGCCUUGGCAUCUAACAGAAUGAGAAUUUUGAGUGCAAAACAAAAUUUUUAGAGUGCCAAUAUAAUAUUUUAUUGUUUUAAAAUUAAUAGUCACGUUUUUCUUUCUUUAACAAAAACAUGGAAAGGUACAUUGAAAUAAGUAAUUAUCAGUAGCGUACUACGUAAUUUUCUCAUCUAUAUAGCCUAUUGUUAAGGAAUUUCGUAUGUCUUAAUUGAGACUGAGAUAAUUUUGUAUGUAUGUAAACAACAUGCUUUCUCUCGGUCCAUGUAUUUGCUACUAACGUCUUAAUUGGGAACGACUAAAGUAUUUUUGUAUAUAUAUAAACUUACUUUCUCUUGGUCCAUAUAUUUGCCAGUAACAUCUUAAUUGGAACUUAGAUACUUGAUUUUUUUUUCGUAAAGUGAGAUACUUUUGCUUUUUUUUAGGUAAAGUGAGAUAUUUUGCUUUUUUUAGGUAAAGUGAGAUACUUGAUUUUUUUUUCGUAAAGUGAGAUACUUUUGUUUUUUUAGGUAAAGUGAGAUACUUUUGCUUUUUUUUUGGUAAAGUGAGAUUCUUUUGCUUGUAGGUAAACAACUCGAUUUCUCUCAGUUAAUAUAUUUAAUGGUAACGUCGUAAUUGGAAUUGACAUACUUAUCUAUGGAUGUAGACAACUUGCUUUCUCUCAAUCUAUAUAUUUGCCGGUAACGUCUUAAUUAGGACGACUAAGGUAAUUUUGACUUGCUUUCUCUCGGUCUAUAUAUUUGCUAGUAACGUCUUAAUCGGGAAAUGACUUUGCUUUCUCUCGAUCUAUAGAUUUACUAGCAUCUAGAAAAAUUCAUAGUUGCAUACUAGUCAAUGAAUGAAGAUCCAAUUACAGAAAUAUCUAAACUUUAAUUCAAUGUAAUAUUGUUUUCCCAAAAAACAGCACAAUCCCACAAAACUAAAGUAAAAAACAAAACAACAACAACAACAAUAUACCAUGAAUUAAAUUAAAAUUCUCACCUCCACCUCCAGCAGAGCUUUCGCAUUCUCAACCUGUCGCAAAAUAAAAAAUCAAAUCAAAUUCAAGUAAAAAUAAAAAAGAGAACUUGAAUAUAGCAACCCUACUCCCCCCUCUUUCUCCCUCUCCCCCUCUCCCCCUCUCCCCCUCUAACAGAAUGAGAAUUUAGAAUGCAAAACAAAAAAUUUAGAGUGCCAAUAUAAUAUUCUAUUAUUUUAAAAUUAAGUCACUUUUUUCUUUCUUUAACAAAAACAUGGAAAGGUACAUUGAAAUAAAUAAUUAUCAGUAACGUACUACAUAAUUUUCUCAUCUAUAUAACCAGUUACAAAAUUUCUUAUGUCUUAAUUGGGGGUGAGAUAAUUUUGUAUGUAUGUAAACAACUUGCUUUCUCUCGAUCCAUAUAUUUGCUAAUAAUGUCUUAAUUGGGGACGACUAAAGUACUUUUGUAUGUAUAUAAACUUGCCUUUUUUUUUGGUAAAGUGAGAUACUUUUACUUUUUUUUGAUAAAGUGAGAUACUUUUGCUUUCUUUUUUUUUGGUAAAGUGAGAUUCUUUUGCUUUUUUUUGGUAAAGUGAGAUACUUUUGCUUUUUUUUUUUGGUAAAGUGAGAUUUUUUUGUUUUUUUUUGGUAAAGUGAGAUACUUUUGCUUUCUUUUGCUUUUUUUUUUUGGGUAAAGUGAGAUACUUUUGCUUUCUUUUUUUUUUGGUAAAGUGAGAUACUUUUGCUUCUUUUUUUUUUUGGUAAAGUGAGAUACUUUUGCUUUUUUUUGGUAAAGUGAGAUACUUUUGCUUGUAGGUAAACAACUCAAUUUCUCUCAGUUAAUAUAUUUAAUGGUAACGUCUUAAUUGGGAUUGACAUACUUUUCUAUGGAUGUAGACAACUUGCUUUCUCUCAAUCUAUAUAUUUGCUAGUAACAUCUUAAUUAGAACGACUGAGGUAAUUUUGACUUGCUUUCUCUCGGUCUACAUAUUUGCUAGUAACGUCUUAAUCGGGAAACGACUUUGCUUUCUCUCGGUCUAUAGAUUUGCUAGCAUCUAGAAAAAUUCAUAGUUGCAUACCAGUCAACGAAUUAAGAUCCAAUUACAGAAAUAUCUAAACUUUACUUCAAUUUAAUAUUGUUUUCCCCAAAAACAGCACAAUCCCACAAAAAUAAAGUAAAAAAAAAAAAAACAACAACAACAAUAUACCAUGAAUUAAAUUAAAAUUCUCACCUCCACCUCCAGCAAAGCUUUCCCAUUCUCAACCUGUCGCAAAAUAAAAAAUCAAAUCAAAUUCAAGUAAAAAUAAAAAAGAGAACUUGAAUAUAGCAACCCUACUCCCCCUCUUUCUCCCUCUCUCCCUCUCCCCCUCUCCCUCUGCAAUUCACGCGUGCACCCCCUCCCUCUGUAACCCUCCCCGUGAAACCCCUAAACUCCCCAUAACCCUACCACCCUCCCCAGUAUCCCACCCCUGUGAUCUUCACCUUCUUCAAUCUGUCCCAGCGAUUGGAUCUCCGAAAUAUUCUAUUCAUGAAGUACUUGAUAAAGAAACCCACUUUAGUUGGAUCAGUGAUCCCAGCAACUAUUAAAUUUUCAUAGUUUCCAGUGGCAACAUGCAUCCAUAGUUGGGGUUGUCACUUGAAAGCACCUGAGAAAUGAAACUUUAAUUUAUACGAUGAAACAUAUUAAACAGAUAGUGAGCAUAGUAUAUAAAGUGAAACAAAAAAAAAGACUUCUUACUGACAAUGCUUCCAUUUACAACAUCACAUUUGGCAAUUAAUUUCAGAGGGUGACUUAGAGCUCUUUUAACGAUAUCUGCUUCGGCCUGCAAAUUUCAAUAUAAUUUUAGCCAAUAUUCAAUUCAGCAUGUCAUCAUCAAAUAUUUUUUUGAGUCAAAACUGAUAACUAGGGUUGUAGUGUGCUUAACUACAUCUUACAUGAAAUCACUAUGAUUGACAACAAUGAGAACUCGAGCUAUGAGAAACCCUGUUCUUAAAGCCUCAUGCCUUAACUCUUCAAUAAACAUUUCAUUCAGUGCUGACAGCAUACUUAUAGGGAACAGUUCCACCAUCCAGCGGUGUUUUGAUUGCAGGAUGAUGUUUGAAUUUCUAUAAGGAAUAAGGAAUAAAAAUAAAACCAAUAAAUGUUAGCCUAGGAGUAGGACCGAAUAUUUUUUUCAGGUCAGAUAAAUGACUCAGAACUUGGAAAUCACAACCCAAAACACAGAUUAACAAAUGCUAUCAUUUCAGAUUUUCACAUACAACAUAGCAGAUAAGGAAGAGUAAAGAAAAUUAGAGAGAAAUUCGAACAGAAUAAGGAUAACUACCUACGCAUAGACUUACCAUUAUCACCAAUAAUAUUCCACAAAAGAUAUAUAUAUUUGGUGACAAUCAUACAUUUGAUUCCCACAAUAUUUCAUGUCUUGCAUAAAAAUUAGAAAUUAAAAAAAAUUAAAAAAAAAAAAAAAAAACACACACACACACACAAAGAAGAAAAGGGUACCUCAUACUUUCCCUGCAGCUGCUUUUCAAAAGGCAAAAUGCUUUAGAUCUAAGUACCAAGCAAAUAUAGAAGCGAUUCAACAAUUAUCAAGAAAAUCAACCAUGCAAGGAACAAAACUUAGAAACUAAACAAUUAUCAAAACUUGUGAAGAAUGCUAAAUCCAACUAAUUCGAAACAUAGAGUAACCCGAAAGAGAGAAAACUUAUAAAUUCUAUAUAAAUUAUAAUCCUUUAGAGUAAAUCUCCAAUAUCCAUUAUCCAAUUAACCUAAUUGUAUUAAAAACCUAGCAAAUCUCCACUAAAUUAAGCAUAUUUUGCAGUAAAUUAUUUAUCUUUUCACAGUAAAGCAAUAAAAAGAUCAUGAGCAAGUAAAUCUGGACCACUACGAUCAAAAUUCCAGCAAUCAAUAACCAUGAUUAUAAAUUUUGACAAACUUACAGUUGCUACAGCGUUUGACAAUGAUCAGGCAAAAACCGAAUCUUUCGUGGAGCAGCAGAUGUUCUAUCAAAAAAAUGAAUAAUCGAAUUAGUUGAUUAAAUUUACAGAAGAAAGAGAGAGAAGAGGGGAAUGAAGGAGAACAGCAGAAGGAGAUGAAAUCAGAUUCAGAGUUUGAGAGUCAAUUGCUGAAUUUAGAUGGACUGACCUUUUCGAUCAUAGACAGUCAAACUGGAAUGCACAGGGAGAAGCGGAAGAAGAAAAAGAAGAUGGAGAGGGGGUGGUCAAUAGGUUACCCGAUGCUGGUCGAGGUCGGAGUUGACAGAAAUCAACGAAGCCCUGCGCGAUUUCGUCGUUGUGAGCUGUGAGAGAAUACGAUGGUCACAUGACUCAAUGUGACAUCCAUAAAACUUAGUACUACAACACUAAACUUAAAAGGAAAAGUACAGAAGAAUCGAAACCAUUAUAAUUCCUUACAUGAUACUGAAUGUCAGUUAGUUAGAAGAGCCCAAGAAGCAAUUGUUCCAUCUGCUAGCAAUCGGCAUCUCCCCAAUCCAUCUGCCAAAGAUAUACACCAAAUUAGAUGGAAACACAAAAUUGGUGGGGCUAGCCAGCCAGCCAUCAUUCUAGAGGCGGUCUAGCGGUUCACUACUAAUUAACAUUGCCAACAUUCAUUUCUUUUUGUAUUUCAUUUAGUUAAGCUUCCAACAUGGGAUUUUAACAUUCUCCAGCCCCAAUAGCAUCAAUCAACACAACACCACAAACCCAAAACUGUGCAUAAAAGAACAGAAAUCAAUGACUGAUUACAAAUUUACAUGAGGGUAGUAAAAGCUAAUAAUGCAGGUUGAUUUCCACAUUGUUAGCAUGAUAAAUAUUGUCAUUACACACUUGUGCACCAAUUAAGGCAGGAUAUUAUGUCUUUCUUGUAUCAUCCACUCUCUUACUAGUCCUCGUUUUUUUGCGCAAUGCAGUUACAAAUUAACAUUGCCAAGCAAUAAAUUGAUAAAAAGGAAGGGGGAAGAUACAACCAAGCCACCUAUAGACCAACCAAGUAAAACCAGAUGCAAACAAAUAUACAAUUAAGCAAACUUCAAAAGAUACAAUAGCAAAAAACCAAACACAUAUAACCAGAAUCUAAGAACAUUUUAAUGACAAAAAAGAAAACUGACCUUUUGCCUGGAGGCAAUGAGAAAAUAUAGAGAAGCAGACCAACUAUUUGAAAAGGUAAAAACAAAAGACUGAAAUCAAACAAUGAUAUAUCGAUCUCCAAAAUAAAUGUACAAUAUCUUUCAAAUUUGAUGAUAAAUUUACAUGCAAUAAAUCGCAUUAUCACUCGUACAACUAAUGUACUUCCUAUAUUAGACCACACAACACAUGCCCAAUAAUCACUUCAUUGGUGCUCUGCCUCAUUUGCAAAUGUAGUUUUAUCUCCACUGAGUUUCUACAUGCAUGGGAACAUAUGUUUUUCUUGUUAAUUUGAAUAGAUUAUAAACUGUUUAACGAAUUCCUGGAAUUCAUAUCUGUAAUAUCAAACUAUAUCAGUUGGAUUUUAAUGGUAAGUAAAAUAGUUGUAUAAUGAACAAUGAAAGAAGGAAGCCAAAUAAUGACGAUGAAAGAAGGAAUCCAAAUAAUGACAAUGAAAGAAGGAAGCCAAAUAAUGACAAUGAAAAGAAGAGAAUUCAAACACAUUGAGAAUAUUAGUUUUAGAUUUUGAGAACAGAUUUAUUCCAUUACCGUUUACCUUUCCUCUCUUUUAGCAACAGACAAUAGUCAUUAAAUUUCUUCUCAUGGCAUGUGUGAUGUGAGCUUGGCGAAGCCACGUUACCCUAAUUUCUUUUCUUUUUUUUGAAAAAAAUUAUACAAGUGGUACGGUUUCAACUGUACAUGUUUAACCUUGGUGUUUUUCAAUUUCAGUUUUACCUUUAUCAUCCAUUAAUUUUCCUAUCCAAAAUGUUUUGAAAAAUAAAUCUAUAGCUGCUAACGGUCUAUAUGCUUCAUGCUGUCAAACUCUGUAAUCUAAAAAUUCAUGUAAAUGCAGAGGUUUAGCUAAAGGACAGGCAUCGAAGAAAUCCAGAAAUCCUUCCAUGGCAAACUUAGUUGUACACCCAUGGCGUGUGUGUUGUAUGUUAGAUGCCCCCUCUCUUUUAACAACACACAAUAGCUUAUGCAAAUGCAAAGAGACUUCAACAUGUUUCAUUUAAAAUAAGUUUACAUUUUGUAGCAAAUGCAUAUGGCGAAAUAGUCUAUAAGUAAUCAUACUGGCAACCAAACAGAACAGUUCAAAAACUUCAAUGGAAAUAUAAAUUGCAGAAAAAAAACUUGAAUUUCCAAACCCACAAAAUAAAAAAUUCAACCAGGUUAAAUGUAAGAAGAAAUACCAAGAAUUGAGAGCUGCAGACAAUCAAAAUGCUCAUGAUCUUGGUCGUGCUGAUGAAAUCCAAAUCUGUACUUUCAUGUCCUCCUCCUCGGUCAAUUCCUUGAGAAGCUUCGAUAUUGCCAACAAUGUCUCCUCUUUGUGGCCGUGGCCGUGGUCGUGCCAACUGCCAUGGAUCUCUCUCCUUCUAACCAGACACCACUUCAACCCUUUCUCCUUUCAAACUUACCUUUAGAAAAUAGAAUAUGAAACAUUGUACGUAGAAAGCAAGGAAUCGAUAAUUUAGGAGGUUUCCCAGGACAAUAAUGAGCUUUUAAAUAUCAUAUUCCCAUACGGAUGCACAAAUACAGAGAGACACUACAGACCAUUUGAUGAAAAAAAAUAGAGAUGCUGAGACUCAACAGACACUAUUCAUAGAUCCAUGACUUAGAAUUUCUCAGAUCCGGUUGAAAUUAAUAAAUAAAAAAUUAGGGAUGUGAAUUUAUACCUCUGAUAGUCUGAGCUCCGUUCUCCUGAUUCCUUUGCCGGCUUGGGGCAAACCUGAGGAGAUUGGCGAUUAGGGGAUACGAAUUCAAAAUAAAAAUUCUAGUAGUCAUCGUCACUGCUGCAGUAGUCAUCGUCCUCGGAUUCCAUCGUUGUCCGACCACAAAAACCUAACAGCGGCCGGAGAACCACAGAACCAAGAGUAAAAAAAUGAGUGCGGGAGAGAGAAGCAGCCAAAAUACAGAGAAGAUGGCAAGAGAGAGGAGAAAUGGAAAGCAGACAAACAAAAAGCAACAUGGGUGCUAGCCAAUUUCCCAAACCCCACUUCUGCUAAAGCUACAUGCUAUUGAUUAUGAUUAAAAACUAAAUUAAUCAUAUCAUUAAUUCGCCCAUGAGCGGUAGGUCUCGGGUUCGAGACUUGGGAGCAGCCUCUCCAUAAAUGGGGGUAAAGCUAGCCGACAUUCACCUCUCCCAGACCCUGCGUAAAGCGGGAGCCUUGUGCACUGGGUACGACCUUUAUUAAUUGCUAAUAAAUAAUGGGUUAUGUUUGUUUUCAUGAAUUCAGGCUCAAAAUACGAAUUGUAAAUCCAAAUUUUGAAAUUUAAUUGCUUUAUCUCCUUACCCGAUAAAGCCAGACGAUUACUGAUCACUAAGCGUCCAAUUCUUGAAAACUACCGAAAUCAAAACAACAACUUCCACUCAAUUUCUCAGCAACAGAAAUAUCAAGCCAAAUCAAAACCAAAAACUUUCAACUAAAUUGCACAAAAGAGUCAAAAUUUAAUUGCUGUACAGAACUAUUGGUUCAAUCGAAAACAAUUAGAAUUCGAGACCCUACCUCCUCCAUUCUCUGAGAGCGAAGCCCUCCUCAGGCAGCAUCUCCGAUGGAGCCGGCAAAAUCGGAUCGUCGGACCCGCCAAACCCUCCAUCAAAGCCCUGGCCGUUCGAUUCAGCGUAGUAGAUCAACGGAGGAGAGAAGGCCUCCGAUGCCGGCUGAGUGGCGAAAGAGUUGUCUACAGCGGAGCCGUGGAAGAUUGGGGAAUCGGUGGCAGAGUCCUUGAGCAACUCGGAGUCGACAAAGGAGUCGAACCGGAGGAGAGUUGGGGGUCGUAGCCCAGGUAACCGUCGUGCAGGUGUGUUGAGGGUUCUUGAGUUAAUUGAAACAUUAAACGUGCAACUGCUUUACAAACCUGAGGAUCAGUAACUGGUCAAACAUGAGCUUGUACUGGCGAAAGCCAUAAUGGAAAAUCCCUGGCAUAAUGCUCUAUAAGGACCCCAAAAAAUCGCUUCAAUGACCCAAUAACAGCUCUAUGAAUCAUGAUAGGCCGCCUCUUUUCAGAGUUUGAGUCAGCAUAUGUUAAGUCAAAACGCUGUGGUAGGUUAAAUCAACCUGUACAAUUUGGGAAAUACAAAAGAUCAAACAAUUUAAAAUAACAAUAAUAAGUGGCUUUAGUCUAUCAAACAAAUCCAUGUAAUUCGCUCAAUUCAAAAAAGAUGCUCAAAUCUCCAAUGAACAUUUUACAAAGUGAUACAGAGAUAGACGGAGAGACUACAAAUUAAAAAACAAAGCACACACUAGAAUUAUCCCGUCAUGAGUUCAGGAUUAACCUGUAUAGUUGAGCACUGCCACUUCCUUCCAAGGGCAUCCUCAACUUAAGAUCAAUCUUUGGACCAUAAAAGGCACCACCACCUUCAUCAAUUUGAUAGCUCCAACCUUUAUUAUCCAAAGCAUCUCUAAGGGCAGAUGUUGCUUUCACGGUUUCACCCAUACAUAUAUCAUCAUCUCCAACAGCUUUCUCUGGCCUCAUAGAGAGAUUGACCUCAUAUUUGCUGAAGCCGAAUUGCAACAAAAGUUCUUCGGUAAGAUCUAGGACACCCCUAAUUUCAUCUUUGAUCUGAUCUCUAGACAAAAUAUGUGGGCAUCAUCCUGCAACAGGUCCCGAGGUUAAACAAAAAAAAAACACUUCAUACACCUAGGAUUAUAGACUAACAGUUUGCAAAUACUAACACCAUACCUGAGUAAAACCUCUUACACGAAAAAGACCAUGCAAGCUUCCAGAUAAUUCGUAUCUAUAUACGGCUCCCAACUCAGCAACUCGAAUAGGAAAUUCAUGAUAUGAUAGGGCAGUUCAUCGGUCAAAGCUGAUAAAGUUCAUCCUCAACAUUCAUUUGAUCAUACAUAUUCUCAUUGUAGUAAUCCAGAUGACCACUUAUCUGCCAAAGGUUCGCCUUUGCAACAUGUGGAGUAUACAGCAGAUCGUAACCACGUUCUAUGUGGAUCUUUUUCCACAAAUCUUCCAUUACAUGCCUCACAAUAGCACCCUUUGGAUGCCAGACACUAAACCCCCACCAGCAUCAU